ACUGUCCAUGCCCUAAUCUAACUGUCUAAAUUUCAACCUUUAAUUUACCCAUUAAGUACAACCGUAAGAUCAUUAUAAUCCAACGACCACCGUUUCCCUUUUCUCCCAUCUCUCUCAUUCUCUCCACUACACCAACCGCCCCCUUUCCCUUCCUCAUCAUCCCUCACUUUCCUCAUAGUCGCAAAUCUCGCCAUUGUUUUCAUUUUCUCAUCACCUCCUUUCUCAUGGUAUGAUUUGAAACCCUAACACAAAAGAGUGUCGAUUUCAACUGGCACCACUUCAUUUCUCAUCAUCGCCUCACAUGCACCCCAAGAUCGAGAUAAAUUCUCAAAAAUUAUAGAGAAUCCUUGACCUCAGUAUAAUCUUUGAAGAUCUAGAGGUCAAACUCAAAGCCCGCUGUGUAAAGCUUAUAUCAGAAAGAUUUAUGGUCGGAUAAUGCUUCAAAUGACCAGUUCUUUCAUCAUUUUAGGAGAUGGUAAAAGUCUUCACCCCUUUCCCUCUGAUUUGUUUACCUCUAUUCCCCUUAUUUUAUCAUGAGUUAUCGUCAUAAUUUCGUCACUGCUUCUUUUCAUCUUUUGUUCGAAUCUGAAGCUCCAAAUUUCAAACCCUAAAGCCCCAACUUUUGGCUAUAAAUAUCGGGCUUUAAUUGCCUCAACAACCAUGAAUCAAUAGCCUAGUAAAUGCACUAAAAUUAACUGAAAAGGCUUUAAAUCUCUAGUUUCUUUACUCACAGUCCUUUCUUUUCUCUUUCUAGUCGAGUUGAUCAUUCUUGAGAUGAUUCCGGAAUGGCUAAGGUUCAAUACUUGGUUUGUUGUCCUGAAGAAGGUCAGUAUGCUUUCAUUCCGUUUACUUCAACGUUCAAAUUUCUGUGCAUGACAAAUAAAUCCGAUAGUUCUCAUGUUUGAUUGGUAUAGUGUAUGUUAGUUAAAAAAACUCAUGUUAGCAGUUGCGUUCUCAGAGUUUACUCGCUUAAUUUGAUUGUGAAGCAUGUUGUAGGAUCUGUCUAUUUGGCAUGACUUUGGCACUAUUUUGUUCGUGUAUUAAACCUCUUCUGAAUUAAGUUAUUUUCUUCUUUAUUAGUAUUAGCUAUAAAUGUUAUUCUCUAUUAUCAUAAGGCUAUUUUGUUGUUGUAGAUAUCAUGUCUAUAAGGCUUACUUGUUUAAGUUCCAAAUUACAUGAUGAAGUUCAUCUUAUCCUGUUUUAUUACUUCCUUUGUUUCAAUUUAUGUGAACCUGUUUGACUGGGCACGAAGUUUAAGAAACAUGAAGACUUUUGGAAUUUGUGGUCCUAAACAAGUCAAAAAGAGGUCCAGAGUAUUUGUGUGGUUAUAAAAGCUUUUCGUUAAGGGUAGAAUUGGAAGUUUAAGCUAAAUUGUUUCCAAAUUUAGAAAGGGGUCAUUCCUUUUGGAACGAACCAAAAAGGAAAUAGGUUCACAUAAACUAGAACGGAUGUAGUAGCUUUUCUCUAGUUCUCUGUUUAACAAGACUCUUAUGAAACUAAGUCUAAACCUGAAAACCUUCAGUUUGGAUGUAGAAUAUCUUAUGAAGCUUGAACAUGAACCAUUACUUCCUAAUCAAUGAGUUUGACAACUUUUAAGUGACUGUCAUGAAAUUGGGCAUAGGUUUAUCUAGUUCCCAAUUUUGAUAACUUAGGCUCUCUAUAUGUAAAAACCAUGUUUAUGUGAUGGAAGUGAUUGCCAUGUAGUCUGAUGCAUUUGUCUAACUGUAAUAACACACCGGACCUCUGUUGAACCUCUAUGAAUGAAUUACCUGGUUGUGUGUUUACUGAUUGAGGAAGAAAUAUCCUGCUUAAGUUUUGUCCAAUGCUCUGCUUAAGUGUUCAUUUAGACAACUUAGAUUAGUAUUCAUCUCCAUAUGUAGAAAGCAUUUCUAUAGGGGCAACGUCACGACCCGAAAUUCCAACCUCAGGGCUGUGAUGAGUCUAACAUCCCACUAGCUAGGAAAGCCAACGUUAGCUAAUUACUUAACCCGUUUUAACAAUUUAAAAGAGAACAUUAAUAAUACGAAGCUAUACUAGUCUAAAAUAGGUGUGAUAAAUACAACAUAGCGUAGUUUAAACAUAUUCCAAAAAUAUGGAGCCAAGAAUACAUGAGCAUACUAGAAUUCUACAACUAAGUCUGAACGAAUUACAACUAUUCGAAAUAAGGAAAACAAUAAAGAUAGGGUAAAAGGGGACUUCAGGGACUGCGAACGCCAGUAGCUCUACCUCAAGUCUCCAAAAGUAGUUUAAUUCGAAUAGUCUCCGCUAUGCGCCGCUGGGACCAACACCAGUAUCUGCACAAGAAGUGUAGAAGUGUAGCAUGAGUAAAACUGACCCCAUAUACUCUGUAAGUACCGAGCCUAACAUCGACUAUGUAGUGAUGAGGCUAUGGCAAGUCACUCACAAAUAACAUGUACGAAAUAAUAAUAACAGAAAAUAGGAAUAGAAAUAAAGAAGUAAACUCAUAUGAACGGACCCGAAGGUCAACUACUAGAAGGCCUUAGAAUAACAUAGUCUCAAAUCUCAUAUCACAAUAUAGAGAAUAAGCUCUACAACCACAAACAACUACAACACACUAAGACCGUUGCAGCGUGCAACCUGUUCCCAAGUUUCAACAUAAUAUCUUAUACAAUGUACAACUCAUUUCCAAUAUGAAAUCAUAAUAUUUCACGUUCCGUUGUAGCGUGAAAUCCGAUUUCUCAAUAUUAAUUUAUUUCAGUACCGUUGCAGUGCGUAACCCGAUCUUCCAAUAUUAAUUUAUUAACAUAAAUAACUCAACACCACUUUUACGUGAUAUCAACACAAAAGAGAAGGAAAUAUGCGGAAUAUUAAAGAAGUGCAAAUUCAAACGGAGAAUAUCCAACAUCUCGUAAUCCCAAACCUUGACGAUUCAUCAAUACAAGAAUAGCUAAAUGUCUCACGUAAUCGAAAUAACAUAAUAGAGUGCAUCAAGUAAUAUAAAGACAAUAAAAGCAAGUAAAAAUAUGUGACAUUUAGAAUAUACAAUUAAGGCAAGUAGGAACAUGUAGCAAGUAAGAAAAUAUUGAGUGAAAAUGUACAAAUCAAAACAAGUAACAAUUAAAUAAAAAUUAACAAGUAAAGCUUAGAUAUCAAGUAAGAAUGUGUAGAAAUUAAAGCAUAUAAUAAGAGAUAAUAGGGAAUAAAUGAAAACAUGAAAGUAAAUAGACCGAUCCCGCAUGUUUAAUCCCGUGACGACGCAUAUACACUCGUCACCUUGCAUAUACGUUGUUUCCCUACAUAAUUCACAUAACACAUAGUCUAACAAGUCCUAAUUCCCUCAAGUCAAGGUUAGAUACAACACUUACCUCUUUGCGAAAUCAACUCAACAAUCAACCAUGGCUUUUCCUUUCGAACAAGCCUCCAAACCAACCAAAUCUAGCCAAAUAUCGUUCAAAUAAUUCAAAAUAAGCUUUAGAAACUACCCACAAGUGAAAAUAAUUUGAUCUUUAAUGAAAUUGGAAAAAGUCAACAAAACCUCUUGGUCAAAACUCGAGAUUCGUACCAAAACCCGAUGACCCAUUCACCCCUGAGCCCGGUUAUGUGAUUUGUUUUGAAAUUCGACCUCAAUUUGAGGUCUAAAUUUGAUGUUAAAAACAGAUGAAAAAUAAUGAAGAAUUGAAAUAAAAUGGAUUAGAGUUUCUUACCAAUGAUUUUGGGAAGAACAAAUUCUCGAAAAAUCGCCUCUAAAGUGUUUAGAGUUGAGAAAUGGUGUAAAAUGAGUUAAGUCCCGUUUUACCCAUUUUUUACCCAGCUUCAGGUGUCGCAAUUGCGAACUUCGUGUAACGACCCAACCAGUCGUUUUGAGUAUUACAACCCCGUUCCCCCAUUUACUACUCAAUUUAUGCCUUACAAUUGAUUUAUGACUUAUCGGGUUAGUUGGUUCGGGUCCGGAAAGAUUUUAGAGUAAAAUGAGACAAUUAGUCUCAUAAUUAAAAAUUUAAGUUGGAAAGGUUGACCGGAUAUUCACUUAUGUGUAAACGACCUCGGAAUUAAAUUCUGAUGAUUCCAAUAGCUCUGUAUGGCGAUUUUGGACUUAGGAGUGUGUCCGAAAAAUUAUUUGGAGGUCCGUAGUGGAAUUAGGCUUGAAAUGGCAAAAGUUGAAUUUUUGGGAAGAUUGACCGGGGAGUUGACUUUUUGAUAUCGGGGUCAGAAUCCGAUUCUGGAAAUUGGAAUAGUUUUAUUUUGUCAUUUAUGACUUGUGUGCAAAAUUUGAGGUCAAUCGAACUUGAUUCGAUAGGUUUCAGCAUCGAAUGUAGAAGUUGGAAUUUCUUAGUUUUAUUAAGCUUGAAUUGGGACAUGAUUCAUGGUUUUAGCGUUGUUUGAUGUGAUUUGAGGCUUCGACUAAGUCCGUAUGAUGUUUUAGGACUUGUUGGUAUAUUUGGUUGAGGUCCCGAGGGGCUCGGGUGAGUUUCGGGGUGGUUUCAGACCAUUUCUAGACCAUUUUUAAUUGUUGGUUUCUGUCUAUAGAGGUGUGCAUCGCGAUCGCGAACAUUUGUUCGCGUUCACGAAGAGAAAACAGCAGUUUGUGGCCAUGUGAAUCGCGAUCGUGGAAGCUCUUUCGCGAUCGCGUAGAACAAAAAUCUCUGCUGCACUGACCCGAUUUUCGAAGCUUNNNNNNNNNNNNNNNNNNNNNNNNNNNNNNNNNNNNNNNNNNNNNNNNNNNNNNNNNNNNNNNNNNNNNNNNNNNNNNNNNNNNNNNNNNNNNNNNNNNNNNNNNNNNNNNNNNNNNNNNNNNNNNNNNNNNNNNNNNNNNNNNNNNNNNNNNNNNNNNNNNNNNNNNNNNNNNNNNNNNNNNNNNNNNNNNNNNNNNNNNNNNNNNNNNNNNNNNNNNNNNNNNNNNNNNNNNNNNNNNNNNNNNNNNNNNNNNNNNNNNNNNNNNNNNNNNNNNNNNNNNNNNNNNNNNNNNNNNNNNNNNNNNNNNNNNNNNNNNNNNNNNNNNNNNNNNNNNNNNNNNNNNNNNNNNNNNNNNNNNNNNNNNNNNNNNNNNNNNNNNNNNNNNNNNNNNNNNNNNNNNNNNNNNNNNNNNNNNNNNNNNNNNNNNNNNNNNNNNNNNNNNNNNNNNNNNNNNNNNNNNNNNNNNNNNNNNNNNNNNNNNNNNNNNNNNNNNNNNNNNNNNNNNNNNNNNNNNNNNNNNNNNNNNNNNNNNNNNNNNNNNNNNNNNNNNNNNNNNNNNNNNNNNNNNNNNNNNNNNNNNNNNNNNNNNNNNNNNNNNNNNNNNNNNNNNNNNNNNNNNNNNNNNNNNNNNNNNNNNNNNNNNNNNNNNNNNNNNNNNNNNNNNNNNNNNNNNNNNNNNNNNNNNNNNNNNNNNNNNNNNNNNNNNNNNNNNNNNNNNNNNNNNNNNNNNNNNNNNNNNNNNNNNNNNNNNNNNNNNNNNNNNNNNNNNNNNNNNNNNNNNNNNNNNNNNNNNNNNNNNNNNNNNNNNNNNNNNNNNNNNNNNNNNNNNNNNNNNNNNNNNNNNNNNNNNNNNNNNNNNNNNNNNNNNNNNNNNNNNNNNNNNNNNNNNNNNNNNNNNNNNNNNNNNNNNNNNNNNNNNNNNNNNNNNNNNNNNNNNNNNNNNNNNNNNNNNNNNNNNNNNNNNNNNNNNNNNNNNNNNNNNNNNNNNNNNNNNNNNNNNNNNNNNNNNNNNNNNNNNNNNNNNNNNNNNNNNNNNNNNNNNNNNNNNNNNNNNNNNNNNNNNNNNNNNNNNNNNNNNNNNNNNNNNNNNNNNNNNNNNNNNNNNNNNNNNNNNNNNNNNNNNNNNNNNNNNNNNNNNNNNNNNNNNNNNNNNNNNNNNNNNNNNNNNNNNNNNNNNNNNNNNNNNNNNNNNNNNNNNNNNNNNNNNNNNNNNNNNNNNNNNNNNNNNNNNNNNNNNNNNNNNNNNNNNNNNNNNNNNNNNNNNNNNNNNNNNNNNNNNNNNNNNNNNNNNNNNNNNNNNNNNNNNNNNNNNNNNNNNNNNNNNNNNNNNNNNNNNNNNNNNNNNNNNNNNNNNNNNNNNNNNNNNNNNNNNNNNNNNNNNNNNNNNNNNNNNNNNNNNNNNNNNNNNNNNNNNNNNNNNNNNNNNNNNNNNNNNNNNNNNNNNNNNNNNNNNNNNNNNNNNNNNNNNCCGCUUACUGUAGAACCACCUGCAUCCAUUAAAGAUGCAGCGCCCCCGAUAAUAGGGACGUUAGUAUUGUUCGCAAAAGCGAGGCUCGCAAAUGCAAGAUCUGCAACAGACACCAGAAACAGGCACUGCACCAGCAGUCCUCAAAACUAUCCAAACAUGCACAUAAGUGUAAUAACAUCAUAUAAACUUGCUCGCGCAAUCAAAACAUCUGGAACCACGAAUCGGACAUCAAAACACAUGAAUUUCAAAAGCAAACUCAAGAGUAGCUAGGAACACAACCAUGCGUCCGAUUCUUAUCAAACCAACUCGAAAUUGCACCAAAUUUUGCAGACAAGUUUCAAAUAGAAAAAUUGACAUAUACCAAGUCCCAAAAACAAAAUUCGAACCCGAUAACCAUAAAUUCAACCUACGAUCAAACCUAGGAGAUUUCCAAAUGUUCAAAUUGCUAACUCUUGAUUUUGGGCUAAAUCAACCUAGGGACCUCAGAAUUCAAUUUUGGGCAUACGCCCAAGUCCAAAAUCACAAUACGAACCUACUGGAAUAGUCAAAAUACCAAUCCGGGAUCGUUUACCCAAAAUGUUGACCAUAGUCAAGUCAAGUUAUUUUUAAAGCCAAAAAUCAUAUUUUCUUUAAAUCUUUACGUAAAAACAUUUUGGAAAAUUACACGGACCACACACGCAAAUCAAGAAGUAUCAAAUUAAGCUAAGGGAGGUCUUGGAACACUGAAAUAAAGGCUAGUGCUCAAAAUGACCUAUCGGGUUGUCACAUUCUCCACCUCUAAAAGAAACGUUCGUCCUCUAGCAGACAUAGAAAAGUACCUGGAUUGGUAAAAAGGUGUGAGUGUCUACUCUGCAUAUCGGACUCGAACUCCCACGUAGCUUCCUCGAUCGGCUGACCUCUCUAUUGCACUUUUAUCGAAGGAAAACUCUUAGAUCUUAACUUUCGAACUUGCCAGGUUAGAAUAGCCACCGACUCCUCCUCAUAGGCCAAGUUUUCAUCAAGCUGGACCGUUCCGAAGUCUAGAUCAUACAAGCUAUCCUCAUGGUACUUCUGAAGCAUGGAAACAUUAAAUACCAGAUGUACCCCUGAUAAGCUAGGAGAAAAUGCAAGAAUGUAAGCAACUUGGAGGAGAACCUUCUCCCCCACCAAUAAACCUCGGGCUCAACUUUCCCUUCUUCCCGAACUGCAUCACGCCCUUCAUUGGGGACAUUUCCCCCACAAUAUAAGCUAUAUCUCGAACCUUCCGGUCUACAUAAAUCUUCUGCUUGGACUGGGCUAUACGAAGUCGCUCCUGAAUUACCUUAACCUACUCCAUAGCAUCACAGACCAAAUUAGUGCCCAAUAACGUAGGCUCACCGGGCUCGAACCAACCACUCGAAAAACGACAUUGCCUCCCAUAUACGGCCUCAUAGGGCACUAUAUGAAUACUCGACUAGUAACUAUUAUUGUAGGCGAACUCUGCUAGAGGUAAGAAUGGGUCCCAUAAACCUCCGAAAUCCAUAACACAAGCACGUAACAUGUCCUCCAGGAUUUGAAUAGUGCGCUCAGACAGUCCGUUCGAAUGAGGAUGAAACGUUGUGCUCAGCUCGACCCGCGUGCCAAACUCACGCUGUACGGCUCCCCAAAAAUGUAAUUUUAACUGCGUGCCUCGAUAAAAAAUGAUGGAAAUGGGAAUGUAGUGCAGACAGAUAAUCUACGGAAUGUAAAUCUGAGCCAACCUCUUUGAAGAAUAGGAAGUCACACAGAAAUGAAGUGUGCGGACUUAGUCAACCGAUACACGAUAACCAAGACCGUGUCAUACUUUCUCAAGGUCCGUGGCAAGCCUCCCACAAAAUCCAUAGUGAUGCGCUCCCUCUUCCACUUCGGUAUCUACAAUCUCUAAUUCAAUCCACCCGGUUUCUGAUGUUCAUACAUCACCUGUUGACAAUUCAAACACCGAGAUACAUUUGCAACAAUGUCUUUCUUCAUUCUUCACUACCAAUAAUGCUGUUUCAAGUCACGAUACAUCUUCGUGACACCUGGGUGAAUAGAAUAGCACGAACUGUAACCCUCCUAAAGGAUCAAAUUUCUCAUCCCAUCAACAUUUGGAACAAAAAUCUACCCCUGAAGUUGCAUAACACCAUCAUCACCGAUCACGACCUCCUUAGCACCACCCCACUGCACCAUAUCCUUCAACACCAAAAAGCGAGGAUCAUCAAACUGGCGAGCCUUGAUAUGCUCCAACAAUGAAGACCGUGCCACAACAUAAGCAAGAACCCGACUGGGCUCCAAAACAUCCAAUCUCACAAACUGAUUGGCUAAAACCUGAACAUCCAUGGCUAAUGGCCUCUCUGCUACCGGUAAAUAUGCUAAACUACCAUGGUCUCCCCCUUCCUACUCAAUGCAUCGGCCACUAUAUUGAACUUCCCUUGAUGAUAUAAUAUGGUGAUAUCAUAGUCUUUUAACAACUCUAACGGCCUCUGUUGCCGCAAAUUAAGGUCAUAUGGUGAUAUCAUAGUCUUUUAACAACUCUAACUACCUCUGUUGCCGCAAAUUAAGGUCUUCCUGCUUGAACAAGUACUGGAGACACUGUUGGUCAGUAUAGACCUCACAAUGAAUGUCGUACAGAUAGUGCCUCCAAAUCUUUAGCGCGUGAACAAUGGUCGCCAACUCUAAAUCAUGAACAAGGUAAUUCUUCUCAUGAACCUUCAACUGCCGAGACACAUAAGCAAUCACCCUACCAUCCUACAUCAACACUGCUCUAAGCCCAAUAUUUGAUGAGACAGAAUACACGGUGUAAGAUCCUAAACCUGUAGGCAACACCAACAUUGAGGUUAUAGUUAAUGCAGUCUUGAGCUUCUAAAAGCUCAACUCAAUCUCGUCAGACCAUUUGAAAAGAGCACCCUUCUAGGCCAACUUGGUUAAUGGGGCUGAGAUAGAUGAAAACCCCUCCACGAACCGACGAUAAUAACCCGCCAAACCUAAGAAGCUCUGAAUCUCUGUAGCUGAAGUAGGUCUAGGACAGUUCUGAACUACCUCAAUCUUCUUAGGAUCCACCUUAAUGCCCUUGGAAGAUACAACAUGGCCCAAAAAGGCAACCAAGUCCAACAAGAAUUCACACUUUGAAAACUUGGCAUAUAACUGAUGAUCUCUCAGAGUUUGAAGUACAAUCCGCAGAUGCUGCUCAUUCACCUCUCGACUGCGGGAAUAAACCAAAAUAUCAUCAAUGAAGACGAUCACAAAAGAAUCCAGAUAGAGCUUGAACACCUGGUUAUCAAAUCCAUAAAUACUGAUGGAGCAUUAGUCAAGCCAAAUGACUCACUAAGAACUCAUAGUUACCAUACCGAGUCUGAAAAGUUGUCUUAGGGGCAUCCGAUGCCCUAAUAUUUAACCGAUGGUAGCUAGAUCUCAAGGCAAUCUUGGAAAACUCCCCAGCAAAGGAUACUUGUUAUUGAUAGUGACCAUGUUCAACUACAGAUAAUCUAUACACAUCCCCAUCGUUCCAUUCUUCUUCUACAAAAACAACACCAGUGCACCCCAAGGAAAAACACCCCGUCUAAUGAAUCCUUUAUCAAGUAAAUCCUGCAACUACUCAUUCAAUUCUUUCAACUCAACUAGGGCCAUACGAUACGUUGCGGUAGAAAUGGGCUGAGUGCCCGAAACCAGAUCAAUGCAGAAGUCGAUAUCUUUAUCGGGUGUCAUCCCCGAAAAAUAUAUAGGAAACAUCUCUAGAAACUCGCACUAAACUAGUACUAAAUCCAUGAAAGGAACCUCUGCACUUGGAUCUCGAAUAUAGGCCAAAUAUGCAAAACACCCCUUCUCGACCAUACGCCGAGCCUUCGCAUAAGAAAUAACACUGCUAAUAGAAUGGCCAGGAGCCCCUCUCUAUUCUAAUCGAAGCAACCUCGACAUGGCCAAUCCAUGACCAAGAUAACAUUAAAGUGCACCUUAUCAAGUAGUAGAAGGUCUACCCUAGUCUCAUAGCUCCAAAUAAAAACCACACACGAGCAAUAAACACGAUCUACCACAAUAGAAUCUCCCACAGGCGUGGACACAUAGACAGGAGCACUUAAAGAAUCAUGAGGCAUAACCAGAUAUGAAGCAAAAUAGGAUGACACGUAUGAAUAAGUAGAGCCCUGGUCAAAUACAACUGAGGCAUCUCUUUGGCAAACCGGAACAAUACCUGUGAUGACGACAUAUGAUGAUGUUUCCUGAGGUCUAGUUGGGAGUGCAUAAAAACAAGGCGGAGCCCAACCACUCUGAACUCCGCCUCUCGGAUGGCCUCUAACUGACUGGCCUCCACCUCUAACAACCUGAACACCACCUCUAGCAGCCUGGCCCUCGCCUCUAGCUAGUUGUGCGGGUGGUGGAGCAACCGGUGUCGGAAUCAUGGAAUGAGUACCCUAAUAUGGUAUGCUGCUCAUCAAUCUAGGAUAAUACCUCCUGAUAUGACCUGCAUCGUCGCACUCAAAGCAACAUCGUAAUUGGCCUAACUGCUAAGUUUGAGAUGAUCCCUGAUGACUCGAAUGACCACUAUAGUAAAUUUGUAGCGGUAGUGCACUGAUAGAAGAUAAAGGACCCGUAAGAAUCACGACUUCCCAAAGCACCAUGUGCUACCUGAAGCGUUGACUGAAUCGUCAUGUGAGGGUGGCCUCUACCAAAUGGCCUCUAAAUGAGGCACCACUGAAAUCACAAAAAUGACAAGGCCUCUUCUCCGAUAACGCCUCUCUACCCUGACCACGAAGCAUCUCGAUCUGUCUAGCAAUCUCUACGGAGCGCUGGAAAGAAAUAUCAUCCCUAGUUUCUUUGGUCAUCUGUAUCCUGCUACCAAAAGUAGGACCAUCAAUGAAUCUCCUCACCCUAUCUCUGUUAGUAGGAACCAAGAUAGCUGCAUGGAGGGAUAGGUCCACAAAUCUGGUCUCAUAUUGGGUAACUGUCAUACUACCCUACCGGAGGCGCUCGAAUUGCCUGCGGUACUCCUCUCUCAGAGUAAAAGAGAUGAACUUCUCCAAAAAUAGCUAUGAAAAGUGAUCCCAAGUUAGUGGAAGUGAACCUGCUGGUCUGCCUCGCUCAUAAUCCUACCACCACCUCUUGGUAGAACUGGUCAUCUGAAACACUAAAAAGUCGACUCCAUUGUACUCCACAAUACCCAUAUUGCGCAAUAUCUCGUGGUAACAGACCAAAUAAUCAUAUGGGUCCUCAGAAGGUAUACCACCAAAAAGAGUAGCAAAGAGCUUGGUGAACAUAUCCAAACUUUUCAAUCCCUUAGAAGACAUCGCGGGCCUCUUCCCGGCUAUGUAGCAAUCACGGGCUGGACUACUCUAACUACAGGAACUGUCGGAGUCUGGUACAAGGGAUCCACUUGCUUUGGAGUGAGAGUGGUGGGAGUCUGGGCUACUCCCCUAGCUUGAGAGACACUUAGUGCCACAAGAAAUACUCCAGCCUGGGCCAUUCUCUCCAUAAGGCCCACUAAGCAGACUAGGGCAUCUUGAACUACGAGAGUAGCAAUGAAUCCCUUCGGGACUUAAGCGGGUCCGACAGGUGCAGUUUAAAUAGGGAUCUCCUCCUUAUGCUCAAUUUGAGGCUCUGCAAUGGGUGCUGUUGCACGUGCUCUAGACUGAGCUAUGCCUCUUCCUCGGUCCCUACCUCGGGCCUGCCCCCUACCCCUGGUAGUGGCUGCAACAGAGGGCUCUAGCUCCUACCCGGAUGAAGAUGUUGUACGUGUCCUCAACAUCUGCGAGAGAACAAUAAUAGAAUGGUUCAAACUUCAGUAAAGUCGCACGAUAGAGAAAGAAAGAAGUAAAAUUUUCCUAAAGCCUUAUAGCCUCUAGAAGAUAUGUACAGACGUCUCCAUAUAGAUCCUCCAAACUCUACUAAGUCUGCUCAUGACUCGUGAGAGCUAGGCAACAUAGAGCUCUAAUACCAACUUGUCACAACCUGGAAUCUCAACCUCAAGUUCGUGAUGGCGCCUAACAUUUUAUUUGCUAGGCAAGCCAACGUUAGCUAAUUACUUAACCAGUUUUAACAAUUUAAAAAAGAACAUUAAUAAUACGAAGUUGUACUAGUCUGAAAUAGGUGUGAUAAAUACAACGUAGCUUAGUCUAAACAUAUCUUAGAAAUCUAGAGUCACGAAUACAUGAGCAUACUAGAAUUCUACAUAUAGAGUCUGAACGAAUUACAACUGCUCGAAAUCAGGGAAACAAUAAAGAUAGGGUAGAAGGGGAUUUGAGGGAUUGCGAACGCCAGCUUCUCUACCUCAAGUCUCCGAAAAUAGUUGAAUUCGAGUAGUCUCUGCGACCAACACCAGUAUCUGCACAAGAAGUGCAGAAUGUAGCAUGAGUAUAACCGACUCCAUGUACUCUGUAAGUGCCGAGCCUAACCUCGACAAAGUAGUGACUAGGAAAUGGCUAGUCACUCACAAAUUACAUGUACGAAAUAAUAAUACCAAAAAAUAGGAAUAGAAAUAAAUAAGUAAACUCAUAUAAAUGAACUCCAAGGUCAACUACCAGAGGGUCCCAGAAUAACAUAAUCUCAUAUCAUAAUGCCGAGAAUAAGCUCUACAGACACAAACAACUACAACACACCAAGAUCGUUGCGGCAUGCAACCCGGUCCCACGUUUCAACAUAAUAUCUUUUACAACGUACAACUCAUUUCCAAUAUCAAAUCAUAUCAUUUCCUGUUCCGUUGCGGCGUGCAACACUAUCUCCCAAUAUUAAUUUAUUUUAGUACUGUUGCGGCAUACAAUCCGAUUCCCAAUAUCAAUUUAUUAACAUAAAUAACUCAACACCACUGUUUACGAGAUAUGAACAGAAAAGAGAAGGAAAUGCGCGGAACAUUAAAGAACUGCCAAUAGAAACGAAGAAUAUCCAACACCUCGUAAUCCCAAACCUUGACGAUUCAUCAAUACAAGAAUAGCUUAAUGGCUCACGUAAUCGAAAUAACAUAAUAGAACAUAAUAGAGUGCAUCAAGUAAUAUAAGGACAAUAAUAGCAAGUAAAAUCAUGUGAGAUUGAGAAUAUAUAAUUAAGGCAAAUAGGAAGAUGUAGCAGGUAAGCAGAGACUGACUGAAAAUGAGCAAAUCAAAACAAGAAUUAACAAGUAAAGAUUAGAUAUCAGUAAGAAUAUGUAGAAAUCAAAGCAUAUAACAAGAGAUAACAUGGAAUAAAUGAAGGCAUGGAAGUAAAUACGCGAUCCCACAUGUUUAAUCCCAUGACAGUGCAUAUACACUCGUCACCUCGCAUAUACGUCAUUUUCCCACAUAAUUUACAUAAGAAAUAGUCCAAUUAGUCCUAAUUCCCUCAAGCCAAGGUUAUACACAACACUUUCCUCGUUGCGCAACCAACUCAACAAUCACCCACAACUUUUCCUUUCGAACAAGCUGAUGGUAGGCUGUAAUCUUGUGUUUUAGUCUCUUUUUACAUUCUAAUUUACUGCACUUUAAUUGAGUUUGAGCGUUAAUUGCUAGUGUUUUGCACUAAUUAUGUAUUUUAUGCCUUAUAGGGGUGAUUCUAAGCUAUGUAGAUGUUAUGAAACUAAUUCGAGCUAAUUGGAGCUUUGAAGUCUAAGUAAAAGCACAAAGGAAUAAACUAGAAUCGUAUUCAGAGGUCGAGGAUCACUCCUAUAAUGUCUAAGAUGUGUCACAAACAAGUUAAAGGGUUUGGAUUGCUUUAUGUUUUCCUUUAACUUAAACAUUGUUAUGAUGAAUUACUCUAUAUCCAUGGAGUAGUUAUCUUUAGGGUUUGAUGGAUUUUGUGUAUUGAUACUUGUUUGUGGAUAACUAACUCUAGUUUUAUGUAUUGAAAUCGUUUUGGAUGUUUUAAUCGUUGCAUCUAUAUACACUUGUUAAUGUAAUCGAGAGAGGCAUAACUUGUGAGAUCUUUGCGUUAUAUUUUGUUGAUUGAUGUCUUAAAUUAUUCUUAGUAAUCGGAAGAGGCUAGUUGAAUUGUUGAUUAAACAUAGUUAGGAAAAUAAUCGAGAGAGGUUCUCCUAAAGACCAAUGCACUACGAAUUCUUGCAUAUAUUCACAUGCUUAAAAUUGGUUUAUCUUGUGAGGUUGAGACUUAAUCGAGAGAGGAGUUUCUACUAAUCAAUUGAACUAAUAACUAAGUAAAUUCGAGAGACUCACUUGAACAUUAGAAGUGAAUUAUCUAGAGUUAAAUCCCAAAUAUUUAUCUUGCACCUAUCCUAUAAACCUUAUUUUCUCCCAAUUGAUAACUUUCUUUGCUUAAUACUUGGGUUGAUUGUCAUUAGUCAAUAGUUUAGACUCUUAGUUAAUUCUAGUUUAAAUCACAUAAAUCUCAAUUGUUGAUCAUAUUAGAUAGCAAUAAAACUAUAAACUACGAUAAUAACUGUUUAACUCUAAUCCCUGUGGAUACGAUAUUUUAAAUUAUUAUAUUCGACUAGCGAGCAUAUUUUAGUGUAUGUUUUCGCUCGUCACAAGUCUCAAAGCCAACCAAAUCUAGCUAAAUAUCGUUCAAACAAUUCAAAAUAAGCUUUAGAAACUAUCCACAAGUGAAAAGCAUUCGAUCUUUAAUGAAAGUGAGAAAAGUCAACAAAAGUCAACCUCGGGGCCGCUUGGUCAAAAAUGGAGAUUCGGACCAAAACCCGAUUACUCAUUCACCCCCGAGCCCGAUUAUGUAAUUUUUUUUCAAAAUUCGACCUCAAUUUGAGGUCUAAAUCUCAAUUUUACAAAAUUUUAAAUCUUUAAUUUCUACAAUAGAAAUCCUAGAUUUGAUGUUAAUAAUACAUGAAAAAUAAUGGAAAAUUGAAAGAAAGUGGAUUAAAGUUCUUUCCAAUAAUUUUGGGAAGAAGAAAUUCUUGAAAAAUAGCUUCUAGAGUAUUUAGAGUUGAGAAAUGGUGUAAAAUGUGCUAAGUACCAUUUUCCCUCUUUUACCCAGUUGCAGAUGUCGCAAUUGCGAUAUCUUGUUCGCAAUUGUGAGCUCUGCAAAUGCGAAACACAGGUCGCAAAUGCGAACUGUGAGUCAGAAGCCCCGAUGUCGCAAAUGCGAUAAAUUUCUUGAAAAUGCGAAGGUACCCCAUCGCAAAUGUGCCCAAAAGCUUCGCAAAUGCGUAGCUCACCCAUGUUGCUUGUGAUCGCAAAUGCGACCAUUAUGUUUGCAAAAGUGAACAAUGACAGUUCGCACAAGCGAACCCAUUCCUCGUAAAUGUGAGGUCACCCAGCCCAGGCCCCUCUCGCAAAUGCGAGCCAUACCUUGCAAUUGCGAGAUCUACAACAGCCACCAGAAACAGGCAAUGCACCAGCAAUCCUCAAACUAUCCAAACUCAUCCGUAAUGCAUUCGAAACUCACCCGAGCCCCUCGGGCUCCAAACCAAAAAUCACACAAGUGUAAUAACAUCAUAUGAACUAGCUCACGCGAUUAAAAAACCAAAAUAACAUCCGGAACUACGAAUCAGAUAUCAAAACACAUGAAAUUCAAAAGGGAACUCAAGAGUAGCUAGAAACACAACCAAGCGUCCGAUUCCUAUCAAACCAACUGGGAAUUACACCAAAUUUUGCAGACACGUUUCAAAUAGAAAAACAGACUUAUUCCAAGUUCCAAAACCAAAAUACAACAUGAUAACCAUAAAGUCAACCUACGGCCAAACCUAGGGGAUUUCCAAACAUUCAAAUUGCUUACUUUUGGCAAAAUGAGUCAAAUCAACCUAGGGACCUCCGAAUUCAAUUCCAGGCAUACGCUCAAAUCCAAAAUUACAAUACCAACCUAUCGGAAUCAUCAAAAGAGCGAUCCGGGGUCGUCUACUCAAAAUGUUGACCGUACUCAACUCAAGUUAGUUUUAAAGCCAAAAAUCACAUUUUCUUGAAAUGUUAACGAUGGAAAUCACGUAAAAACUUUUGGAAAAAUUUCUUGGACCAUGCACACAAAUCAAGAAGUAUUAAAUGAAGCUAAUGGAGGUCUCAGAGCACAUAAAUAAAGGCUAAUUCUCAAAAUGACCUAUCAGGUCGUCACAAGAAAAUUAUAGGAUGAAUUACUUGGGAAAAUUACAGUUGCUUUGUCAUGUUUUGAAGAAGAAAAAAUUUUCUUUGUAUGAAUGGUUGUUAGUGAUAUAACCUUGACUUGCCUCUUUCGCUUCAGAUUACAGUUAUGCAUUCAUUCCUCGCACUUCUGCCUUUACCCUUAUGUGCAAAUACUAACUGGAUUUUCCCUUUUAUUUUGCAUGAGUACCCUGGGCCAAUGGAGUUCACUUUGAACACUAUUGUCCUCAUUGCGUUACUAUUACUGAUGUCUGCUGCUGAUUUUAAAUCGAUGGGUCUGAUUCUUUGUCAGCCCAUUACAAGAGUCUAGCCUCCUAACUUUAUAUCACUGCCAUUUAUUAGUCCCAGUUGUAUACUUGUGUUAUGAAACUAAUGCUAAUAUUAUAUGUUCUUAUCUUUACUUUGAUUGAUUACCUAGGAAAUAAUCUUAGUAUAAACUAAUCAUGUUGGACAUAAGGCAAACACAAGGUAAUAAGACUGACAGCUUGUAACUUGUGCACAUGAUAACCAUUUAAAGAGUUUUCAAUUGAUCAUUUAGGCAAAACUAGAAACGAAAUAUAUUGGAAGUAAGACACGGGGCAUUUGCAGCCAUACCCUGUAUUUAUGCCAACUUUUAACCUGUGUCCUAUUUUUAAAAAUGAUUGAUUUGGUAGCCAGCUGACAAAAAAACCGUAAUAAUAUGACAAUUACACCCCUGACAAAAGAUAUAAAAUCUACAUCAUGCAUUAAUCGCGUGAGAUCUCCUCCUCCUCUCACCUUGAGGCUAAAACUUCAUGCUAAUGUAGCAUGAAGUUGUUUCAUGUUGAAACUAAAAUUUCAUGCUAAUAUAGCAUUAAGUUGUUUCAAAUUGAAGCUAAAACUUCAUGCUAAUGCAUGCUGAAGUUAUUUAUCCUGCAGUCUAAAGUUUUGUCACGAGUUUUAUUCGAAACUUCAGUCUAAACAUGCUGAAGUUAUUUAGUUCAUUUGCUCAGUCUAAACAUGCUGAAGUUAUUUAGUUCAUUUGCUCAGUCUAAACAUGCUGAAGUUAUUUAGUUCAUUUGCUAAAACUUCAGACUAAAGAUGCUUAAGUUUUUGUCUUGCAGUAUUAAUUUUCUAAUGAGUUUCAUACCAAAACAUGCUGAAGUUUUGUCAUGCAGUCUACAGUUUUGUCAUCAGUUUUAUCCGAAACUUCAGUCUAAGCAAGCUGAAGUGUUUUAGUUCAUUUGCCAAAAUUUCAGACUAAACAUGCUUAAAUUUUUGUCUUGCAGUAUGUAAUUUUCUAAUUAGUUUUUUUUUAAUGCAUGCUGAAGUUAUUUAGUUCAUUUGCUAAAAUUUCAUACCAAAAUAUGCUGAAGUUUUACCCUGUAGUCUACAGUUUUAUCAAUAGUCUUUUAUUAAAGAAGGGCAAAAUCGUCUUUUUAAAAUGCUUUUAACAAAAAAAUGGGUACGGAUGCAAACAGAAAAAUAAAACGGGUAUAAGUUAAAAAUGGGCGAUCAAAUAGGGUGCCCCAUGCAAUUUUUACGUAAGACACGCAGGUAGAAUACAAUCUGGACCCGAUUUUCACAAAGAUAAAAAGUUAUUUUGGAAAUCGAAUAACCUUGCUCAAACAAUUCCUUUAAACACGGCUAAGGUAUACGGAUAUUUCGCACGUUAUUUUUAGUUUACAAAAGUUUAAGUAUUAUUAUAAACUCAUAUUUUGAUUACCUUUUGCAUCAGAAAGCAACUUUAAUUAUUUUGGAAGCAAUUUAUAGUAUAGUCUUUAAUUAAAUACUCCUUUACAAACUAUUUUUGAACCUGUUAUCUUUCAACAAAUUAACGCCUAAACACCUUAUAACUUUAAGAUUAAGGAACUACUUUAGUGUAGAUUUAUGCCUAACACCUUCCCCUUAGAAUAACCAGAACCCUUACCUAGAUUCUCACUAGUUUAGUGGACCAUCAGGAUGUUGAUCUUUAUCUGACAUAUAGGUACCUAGUAUACCUUUAAAUAUUAGGUGGCGACUCUUCUUUUAUUAACCUCAAAGGAACCAAAAGUUGUGUUUUGUUUUAACAUGUGCAAAUUAGGGUGCAACAAGAAAUAAUGAGUUGCACGAAGAGUUUUCCGUGCUUGUGAGAACGAGUGAUUGUGCACGAAGGGUGUUUUCGUGCUUUCUUUUUACAUAUCAAUAUCAUUGUAGGAAGGGUCUUACCAUGAUUGAGAGGAAAAGAGAAUAUGCGUGAAGGGUGCUUCCGUGCUUGUUAUUAUAUUGUGUUUGUGAUAAUGAGACUAAAAGUACGAAGGGUGAUGCCAUGUCUUUUGUUAGUAUUGUUUUUUCUUUAUUUUGCUAUACGGAUUGAGGAUAUGGCUAUGUUGCUUCAUGGUUAUCUUUGAAAGGUUUGUUCAGAGUUGCUUGUGGAAGCAUAAGUUGUGGUUUACUAUAGUAGUAUCUUCCUUUAUUUUAUCGUUCUAUAUCUCCUUAUUAUACUUGUUAUCUCUCUCACAUAUUAUCAUCUUUCUUGCUAUUUUACUUAUUAUCUCAUCUCAUUGUUUCUUGUUAUUUCACGUUAUUACUCGUUACAUAACUGUACAUGCUUAUAUGUUGGUGUCUUGUAUUAGCCUCGUCAGCCUUGGCUCAACACUUACGGAGUACAUUGGGUCAGUUGUACUCAUACUACACUUUCGCACUUCUUCUGAUGAUUUUAGUCCUAGUUUCGGUGUUACAUAGAGGAGAGACUAGCUAGCUGGUUGAGCAGACCCGAGGUAGUACUGCACUCUCGUUCGCAAGCCUUAGAUUCACCCAUGUCAUAUUUUUAUUACUCUUUAUUUAUUUCGAACAGUGUACCAUUAUUCCAGACUGUGUAUUUAGUUGAGUUUGUAGACGCUCAUGUACUCAGUGACUCUAAUUUCUGGGAGAUGUUAGAUGGUUAUGGGUUUCAGACUUGAUUUAGUUUUCCUGAAUUUUAUCUUUCAUUUAUAGUAUUUUGUUAUUUACGUUUUGCUUUUCCUUUAUUGUUGCUAUUGUUGGCUUGCCUAGCAAGUGGCGUUAGGCGCCAUCACGAUCCCCUUGGUUUGGAAUUUGGGUCGUGACAAGUUUCAGAGCACUAGGUUGCAUAUGUCUCACGAGUCAUGAGCAAGCUUGAUAGAGUCUUGAGGAUCGUUACACAGAUGUUUCAACUUAUCAUCUAGAGGCUACUAGGAAACUGUACUUUCUUUCUUUCUCUAUCGUGCGGCUUUGUUAUAUCCUAAAGUUUGAAUCUUCAAUCUCUUUUUCUCUCAAAGAUGGUGAGGAAAUAUGCUUCGACUGAAGGUGAUUAAGAGCUACAGCCCUAAAUUGCAGCCACUAUUAGGGGUAGGGGCUGGGGCAAGGGUAGAGGCAGAGACACAUGCAGAACUCAGCCUAGAGUGCACGCAGCAACACCCAAAGUCAUGCCUCAGAUAGCUCCAGAGGAGGAGAUUCCAAUUCAGGUCGAGCUGAUAGGACCAACUUAGGUCCCAGAUGGGUUCAUUGCUACGCAAUGCUUCAGGAUGCCUUAGUCUGCAUGGUCGGAUUCAUGGAGAGUAUGGCCCAGGACGGAGUAUUUCCCAUGGCACCAACCACUUCUCAGGCUGGGGGAAGAGUUCAGACUACCACUACACAUACCACAGAGCAGAUGGCCCAUGGUUAUCAGACCUUAGGAGUUCUACCCGUUGGGGUGGUUUGGUAUAUUAUAGCCGCACAGUCCGAUGAUAUGCCCACGGUGUCAGUUGAUGUGAAGAGGUUCGACAGGUUUACCAAGUUGUCUCCUCCACACUUUAGCGGUGCACCUUCAGAGGAUGCCCAUGACUUCUUGGACCGUUGCCAUGAGAUUUGCACAUCCUAGGACUAGUUGAGUCCAAUGGAGUUGAUUUCAUAGUCUUUCAAAUGCAUGGUUCAACAAAUAGGUGGUGGUAGGUUUUUUAGCUGGGCAGGCCAGCAAAAUCACCUCUUCUUACGGAGGCUUAGUUUUCAUAGUUGUUCUUAGUGAACUUUAUUCCCCUCACUCAAAGAAAUGAGCUACGCAACCAGUUUGAGCGCCUUCAUCAGGGUAGCAUGAUCAUCACCUAGUAUGAGACUAGAUUUUUUUAUUUGUCUUGCCAUGCAGCUAUCCUGAUUCCUACUGAGAGGGAGAAGGUGCAGAGGUUCAUAGAGGGUCUUACCCAUGGCAUCAUGCUCCAUAUGGCUAGAGAGGCUGAGACCAAGACUUCUUUUACUCAGGUACUAGAGAUUGCCUGGAGGAUUGAGCGCAAUAGAGGUCAGGUGAGAGAGACGACCUCUGAUAAGAGGCCUCAUCAUUUUGGUGGUUUAAGUGGUGCCUCGUCAGGAGGAAGGGGUUCCUUGGAUAGAGUCAAUUCUAUCAGGCUGGUAUAGUUAACACUACAAUGUCACACAUGGCACAUCAAGCAGCCAUAGUGCUUAUGGACCUCAUUCCGAGCAUCUAGCAUUCAGUGCAUCUCUAGCUCCUGCUAGUGCACCUCCAAUAAAGAGUUACCAUGGUGGUUAUUCGGGUUGUCAAGUACAGCUCCAGGUUCAGCAAUCACAUUAGCAAAGGGCUUGCUAUGUGUGUGGGGAUUUGAGUCAUAUCACGAGGUUUUGCUCUAGAUCACAGAGUAGUAUGACACAACAGUGUACUCAUGCCAUAAUUCUGGUACUGGUUUCUACACCACCUGCUCAGUCAGAUAGAGGAGGGGGUCAGGUAGCCAGAGGUGGAGGCUAGCCAAUUAUAGGUGGAGGCUAGUUAGUGAGAGGUCAUCCUAGAGAUGGAGGACAGGUUGGUGGGGCUUAGCCCCAUUGUUAUGCAUUCCCAUCUAGGCCUGAGGCGGAGUUGUCCGAUGCAGUUAUUACAGGUAUUAUCUUAGUCUGUCAUAGAUAUGCUUCGGUGUUGUUUGAUCCGAGUUCUACAUAUUCUUAUGUGUCUUCAUACUUUGUAUCCCACUUGAGUAUGCCUCGUGAUUCUCUUUAUGUUCCUGCUUUUGUGUCCACGCCCGUUGGGGAUUCUGUAGUAGUAUAUUAAGUGUACUGGUCUUGUGUUGUUACUAUUAAUGGUUUUGAUACUAUGAUCUCUUGUUGUUGGAUAUGGCAGAUUUUUGAGGUUAUUCUAAGUAUGGAUUGGUUGUUCCCAUAUCACGCCAUCUUAGAUUGUCAGGCCAUGAUUAUAACUUUACCAUGUUGGGGUUGCCCAAAUUAGAGUGAAGAGGGACCCCCAUUCAUUCUACUAGCAGAGUGGUCUUAUUUUCGAAGGCUUAGCGUAUUGUUGAGAAGGGGUUCUUAGCAUAUUUGGCUUGCAUUCACGAUUCUAGUGCAGAGGUUCUUUCUAUGGAUUUAGUGCGGAGGUUCUUUCUAUGGAUUUAGUGUGGGCUGUGAGGGAGUUCCCAGAAGUAUCUCCUACAUAUUUAUCGGGCAUGCCACCUGACAAGGAUAUCGAAUUUUGCAUUGAUUUGGUUCUGGGAACUCAACUAUUUCUAUCCUACUGUACCGUAUGGCUCUAGCUAGUUCAAAGAAUUGAAGAAUUAGUUGCAGUAUUUGCUUGAUAAAGGAUUUAUUAGACCGAGUGUUUCACCUUGGGGCGUGUCAAUGUUGUUUGUUAAGAAGGACGGAUCGAUGGGGAUGUACAUCGAAUAUCGACAGUUGAACAAGGUUACCAUCAAGAAUAUGUAUCCGUUACCUAGGAUUGAUGAUUUGUUUUACCAGCUUCUGGGUACCAAGGUAUUUUCCAAGAUUGAUUUGAGAUCGGGCUACCAUAAGGUGAAGAUUAGGGCAUCAGAUACUCUUAUGAGAGAUUUUAGGACCCGAUAGGGUUAUUAUGUGUUUCUUGGUGAUAUCAUUUGGUUGACUAAUGCUCCAACAACCUUCGUGGAUUUGAUGAACCGAGUGUUCAAGCCUUACUUGGAUUCCUUUGUGAUUGUUUUUAUUGAUGAUAUUCUAGUUUAAUCUCAUAGUAGAGAGGGGCAUGAGCAACAUUUACGGAUUGUACUUCAAACUUUGAAGGACCGCCAACUUUAUGCCAUGUUUUUGAAGUGUGAGUUCUGGCUAGACUUAUUUGCCUUCUUGGGACAUGUUGUGUCUUGUUAUGGUAUCAAGGAUGAUCCUAAGAAGAUUGAGGAAAUUCAGAGUUGGCCACGACCUACUUCAGCUACAAAAAUUCGGAGCUUCGUGGGUUUGGCGGGCUAAUAUCAUCAUUUUAUGGAGGGUUUUUAUCUAUCGCAACCCCAUUGACCAAGUUAACUCAGAAAGGCGCUCUUUUCAGAUAGUAUUAUGAGUGCAAGGAGAUCUUUCAGAAGCUCAAGACUGCCUUGACUACAACCACAAUAUUAGUGUUACAUAGCAAUUCAGGGCCUUAUACUAUAUAUUGUGAUGCUUCACGUAUUGGACUUGGCGCAAUAUUGAUGCAGAAUAGUAGGAUGAUUGCCUAUGUGUCUCAUCAAAUGAAGAUCCAUGAGAAGAAAUAUACUAUGUAUGAUUUGGAGCUGGCAUCUAUUGUACACGCGCUCAAGAUUGGAGGCACUACUUGUACGACAUGUUGAUGAGUAGUGAUUUUACCACUUAUUUUAGUCUCUUUUCUUUAAAUUUUAUUUCGUUUAAUUAUAAGAUGAGGUAAUUUAUGGUAUGCAUUGCUAAAUUUUUAGGUACAAUGAGUCUUGAGGAGAAUUGAAAUCAAAUAAAGUGGAAUUGAGCAAUAAAUAGUUGAAGAAGUGCAAAAAUUGGUUCGAGUGGUUUCGCACCUGCAGGGAAAUUUCCGCUUCUGCGGACUCGCAUCUGUGACUACCUGUCUGCAUCUGUGAAUGGGAGCUGUUACACUGAUAUCACAUUUGCGAGUGAAUUCCCGCAUCCGCGGAGGUGCUUCUGCACAAUAUGUCUGCACCUGUGUGUGCACUUCUGCGCUUCAGAGUCCGCAUUUGCGGUGUAGCCAAUUUCCACAAGACUCGCAUAUGCGAUGAUUCCUCUGCACGUGUGGUUAAUGGGCUUUAGAUCUAGGUAGAUUUGCCAUUUCACAAUAUCCUGAUUAAUUUCACCUCAUGAUGUCCAAAUCCACACCUCAAAGAGUAAGCGGACACGGUCGCAUGCACUAUAAUUUACCCAACUAUGAGUCCGGGUCGAAUUCCACAGAGAACAAUAUGUAGGUGAUUAGGAAAAUAAGAGAAUUAUCUCUUAUUUUGCUAAGCCAAACACUAAUAAAGGUGUUUUGAGAAAAUGUUAUAACUAAAUGCAAAAAUAUAAACUAACCUUGAAAGCAAGUAAAAUGAUCAAUUGCUAAAAGCAUGGAUACAUAGGGAAUUAUACUCAAGUAGCGAUCCAAUGUAUUUCAUGAUUUUACAAAUAUGAGUGAGUUUAUGUUAAUUAGCGUCGGAUAAUAGUUUUAUAUUAGCUUAUUUUAAAGGCUAAUAAGACUUCCUAAUUUAAUUAUCCCUAAAAUAAUUAAGAGGAUUAAGUUCACCCGAAUAUGGCUACAAGUAGUUCAAUCCUAUCCCUAGGUAGUAUCUAUAAAAUAAGGGUUAACGCUUCAAGUUAUUGUUAAUUAAUAUUUUUCAACCCCAACUUACCUUUACCAAGUUUAAUUCAAAGUUAAUGGGCGAGUCCUAGGGUGAGCUAAUCUCUUUGAAAACAUUAAAGAACAAGAAUAAUUAAAGAAACAAUUAACUCACUUCAAUAUUAAUGAAAAUCAUUCAAUACAUAAGCACAACAAGAGGUUUAAUUCAAACUUUUAUAAUGAAUAUUCCCAUAAAAGGGAUUCAAGUAAUGGAAUAAAUACACCACACUUAGAUAUUCAAUACAAAGCAAGAAAAUGAAGAAAUGAGUAAAAAUGGGCAAGAAAAUCUCAACCAAAGUCUUCAAAUCUUCAACUCCCAAGUGUGUGUGCAAGAACCCUAGCUCCAAGUUUGUAUUUUUGUCCAAGGAUAUGCCAGAGACAGCCAAAGAUGUGUUUCAAAUGAUCUUGGUCGUGUAUUUGGGGGUUUGAGAUAAAGAGAAUGUGAAAUGCCAAGUCUGUCCAGAGCCGAAGCCUGUUGGCCGCACCUGCGGAAGAAUCAUCGCAGGUGUGGCUCCGCAAAUGCCGAAUUUUACUUGUAGAUGCGAGUCUUGUGGAGAACUGGCUACUCCACAGGCAGACAUGUCUCGUCAGAAGCGGCUUCGCAAAUACGUAUUUCUAGCGCAGAUGCAGAUGGCCAAACGCAGGUGCGAUCCCAGUGGAAUAUUGGCAAUUCUGCAGAUGCGGGCAUCUUCUCUUAGAUGCGAACAGUGUUCCGCAUAAGCGAGAUCACUGAAUGUAUUUUCACCUCUUCAACUCACUUUUGCUCAAUUCCAUUUCAUUUGAUUUCAAUUCUAUUCAGGACUCAUUGUACCUGAAAAUCUAAUAAUGCACACCAUAAAUUACCUCAUCUUAUAAUUAAACGAUACAAAAACUAAAGAAAAGAGACUAAAAUAAGUGGCAAAAUCACCACUCAUCAACACCCCCAAUUUAAACUUUUUGCUUGUCCUCAAGAAAAUCAAAACCAAAAAUUCAAUGAGGCUCAACCAUUUAAAGCACAAUUAGCAUCACCGUUAUUUCCAAAUCACAUUUUCCAAUUAAGCACAACUUUUAUGGUUUGGUUGGUACUAAUAAUUGGGCUAUAAACAUGUGAACUUUAAUUAAAUAACUCCCUCAUUUAAAAACACAACCUCAAGAAUGCAAUUCAGUUUCAAAAUAAUCAAGUGAUAACAACCAUGCCUCAAGAAGUGACUUAAAAGCACUAGUCUACUAAAUAUGCUCAUUUUACUCAAUUUGGAAUAUAUUAAUGUCACCAAUCCAUCAUAAUCCAUAUUUUCUUACAAAAACGAAAGUCCCAAAAUCACCAUAUUUACAACAAAUACACAAGGGACAAAUGCACAAAGCCACUCACUCUCAACAUAAAAUUUCAAGUGUUAACAAAUAUAAUGCCAUAAGCUUGCCCUUAUUUUAUUUCGCCGCCAAUUUAAGAACAUUCGAUUGGAGAUCCCAUAAGGACUUUUUAAGCAUGUAAUGUAGGCUUAGAGAAGGGUAGGAUAAGAAUUUGGGAUAAAAGUGACUACACCCUCCCUGAACACUACUCACAUUUGUCUUUCUUUUUGCACUUUGCUUUUUAAAAAAAUACAUAGCCCUUAUUGACCUCUAGUUGCCAACAUUGAACCACCUUGAAUUUCGUAACUACCCUCUAGUUGUGCUUCCUUUCUAAUUUUCUCAAGACUCCCCUUGUUUUAUAUAAAUAUGUUUUUGCAUUUGUUUUGGAUCUUGAGUGUUUUCAUGUUACACAACUUCGAGGUAUUUGCUUUUACACACAAUAUGCAUCUUCACCAUUUACCAAUUGACACUAACACCCCUAACUUAGACUUUUAGCCUCAUUCAUAACAUUCAAAAAAGGACGGGUUCAAAAGAGAAAAUUAUUUCACAAAAGGGUAAAGGUUUGUAAUGUAGUAGCCAAAAAAAGGUUAAAGUCUCAAAUGGGGUUAACUAAUGAUAAUAUUUAUGCAAUAGAACUACGGUCGAAAGGCUAAAGAAGUUUUUUCAAAGAUCACAAAGAAUGUCUAAGGUCAUCCCUCCAACUAAACAUAAUUAAGAUUAGCAUUAAAAGAUCAACCAGGCAAGUUCUAGAUGAUAAAAGUAAGUACAAGAAUGUAUUAACAAAAACUAACACACAUGGCACAUGAACUAGUCAAGAUGGAUCAAUUCCACUUAUUAAUAUGAAAAACUAGAUCAAUAUCAUGCCAACUAGUGGGCAAUGAGUCACAAAAUGAGCCAAAAAGUUAUCACAAAAAUUAUUCUUUCCCGUGCCUUUUACUUUUUCAAAUUUUCAACAAACAGCUUCGGAGGGGUAUUCUCAAUUCACAUCUCACAUGAAAAAUACUAAUUUUAUUAUUAUCAAACAAUCCAAAAGUCAUACUUAAACAAGACUCAUUCCCUUAAGAAAGCUGUCACGCUAUCCGUAAUACAAAAAAGUCACUCGGUUCAACACAAAAAUAUUCCUCGGGAAAGAACUGUGGCAUAAAUAAAACCCAAAGAGAUUUAUUGACAAGUAUAUUACUACUAAAUAAAGAAAAAUAAAAUAACUAAAAACUACUAAAGAAAAUAAAAUAACAAAAGUGACUAAUUCGCAAAUAUAUCACCAAUCACAAACUAAGCCCGACAAGGGCAUAUGAUCAUUCACAAUAGUAAAACAGUUCUGACAAGGGAACAAAUUAUCCAUACAAAAUCAUAAGCCCGACAAGGGCAAAAGUCAAGCAUAGAUGUACAAAUAAAGUAUACUUCCUAAUUUCACCCCAGAUAAAAACAAUGCAAUGUCCUUACUGCAUAAUAUCAUAAUAAAAUAAGAGUUGUUUCAGGGUUUCCUUGAGGUCUGCAUCAGACUAGCAAAUUACAGGAAAAGGCUCAUCACUGCUAUGUAGAGCUCUGGGCCUCAUCAUCACCGGCAUCAUCCAACAAGAAAGAAUACUAUUAACUAUUAUCGUCGUCUUUAAUCGAUAUCUUCUUGUUCGGCUGCCCCCAUUUGAAUAUGGCCUUGAUGCCUCUCCACAUCUUUACCAUGAACUUGCCUUUAUUCUUGUUUUUCUCUUUCUCCUUCGUGAAUUCAACUUGAAGAUCGAUAUGUGCCUUGGCCAUAUGCCUGUAAGCUACCUCAAGCCUGCUAACAGAAGUUGCUAACUUCUCCUGAGACUCCGCCUGCUUUUUCUGAGCCUCCAAAUAGAUCUUCAUUUCAUCUCUAGUAGUCAGAAAUAGGUUGGGAAUGCGAGGGUUCCACUAGGGAUCUGUGACACUAAGUCAUGAAUGGACACAAGCUGGAAAUUAAGCAUCCCAAAUGGUCCCUCGGGCAGUGUUUCCUGUGAGGACUCUGAUCCGACAACUGUGGUGAUUUUGCGCUUCUUACUCUUUAUUGCAUUACCCUCUUCUGUUACUCUUAACGGAUGCAAGGGUUUGUCGGCCAGUAACCAACGAUCGGUGCUACGCACAUCAACAUCUGCCCACCGGCACAACUCUGUGAUCAACAAAGGGAACAUCAAGCGUGGACUAUUUUGUAGAAGGUACUCUGUCAGCUCCUAAAUGAUAUAAUAACCGACAUUCACAAGAAUUCCAUCAAGUAUGCAUGCAAUCAUCAGGGCUCUGACAUAUGGAACAACAGAGAUAUUACUAUAAAGUGAAACUCUGCUACAGAUUAUGUACAACCACAUCUUGGCCUCAGCUAUGAAAUUAAUGGAUUUUAAGCCCUUCAUCUUGUUGGUCCAGUUCACUCACUUGUCUGAGAGAUAAAGUUGAGACACUAGCCAAUCUCCAUUGGAGCAUGUAUCUUUUUCUCACAUCGGCUCAAGUGGAUGGCUUGGAAGCCCAUAGAUAUCAUUAAUUUGCUCAGGUCCAAAUCACAUUGUUUUGCCCUUUAUGAUGUGUUCUGGGUUGUUGAAGUUUGUACGCUUAAGAUUUGCAUAGAACUCGUGUACCACUUCCUCAUUGGCAUCGCACGGAGUAGGCAUGAAACAAGUCCAAUAAGUGGUUUGUAGAUGGCCAUUGAAAUCUGGAAGUAGCUCGACCAAUCUUUCCCCGGAGAUCCCUUAUUCAAGUAGGACCUUCUUUGUAAGAAGGUUGUCACGGUAUCGGCGAUGAAAAUCAGCGGACAUGAAAUGAUCAGUGUCAUACUGCUCUUCCACAACAUCUACUUCAAUUUCAAGGUCAUGUGCCGUAUUUUCGUUCAUGUUUGGGUCCAAUUUUGAAGCUCAAAAUACCUAAAAAUCAAAACCAAGUUAGUCGGGCAUUAUAAUCAUGUUAAGCAAUUCAAAACACUGCAAUUAGGCUAAAGAAUCAAAGUCUAAAGGGCCCAACAAGCCAUAUUCUCAAAGCUACUAAUUUUGCAUUUUCUGCCCAGUCAUCGCACCUGCAGAAAAAUCAUCGCAGGUGAGAUUCUGCUUCUGCGAAAGUUUUCUGCUUCUGCAUUCUUUCACUACUCAGUUGAUUCCACACCUGUGGAAAAUCAUCUCAAGUGUCGGGCCACAUCUGCAGCCUUUUUUUCGCUUUUGCGGUGUUCAUGAGAAUUUUCAAAGCACAAAAACUGCCAUCUUUUUAAAAUUCAAAUAACUUCUUUAGCACAUAAUUUAUACUCAAGAUUUCUAAAUUUUUUGCACUACAUGAUUACCCGACUUGAUUACACAUGAUUUCAAGGCACUUAGCACAUACAUUUCUCUUGGACAAAUCCUCGAACACUUAGCAAGCAACGAGAGAGUUUUGAUUCCUAAAAGUAAUUAGGUACUCAGACUUUCCCAUUUUGUGGUUGAACAACACCAAGCACACACAGCUAAGCUCAACCAAUUUUCAUCACCCCUAAAACUAACAUUUAUAUAGAGGGGAAAAGGGAUUGUGGGAAAACAACUAUGGAGAAGAAGUAGAAAAAACAAUAAGAGAAGAAGAAAAUAUAAAUAGAAGAGGGAGAGAGAGGAAGAGUGUAGGUGAGUUUCUUGUGUGUGAGCAAGAGAAUGCGAGCAAUAGAGUGAUAAGAGUAGUUGUGUGCAAGAGAUGGGAAGAGUUAGAGUUUGGGAGAAGAGGGUUUAAAAUUUUACCAAUUGAAGAAGGGAUGGUUGUUUAAACUUACCUGACGAGCCGCAUCUGUGAUGUUUAGAGCGCUUCUGCGGAGCCGCUUAUGCGAUAAGCAGACCGCUUUUGCACAAAACGCGCAUCUCCGAUCUUUUUCUCGCUUUUGCAGUUCCGCAUCUGCGUGAUUAUUUUUGCAGAUGCGGUUGCCCCAGAAAUCUGAUAGACAUAACUGUGUAGCACUAUUUUGGUAUGUUUCCAACAUCGCAAACUUCUUAAAUCAACUCCAAAAAAUAUAAAACUUGGCCGAUUAGUCAAAAAUAAUAUAGUAAACUAUUCUACAAAAAAGAAAAUUUAAAAAUGACUUAAAAAUUUAAAAAUGAUGGGUAUAUGCUUAACCAAUGUGCGAUCGCAUGCAUGGUCUCAUAACCGUUCUGCGGUCCGCAGAAUUGACCUUCAACGGCAUUUUUGAGCGACAUUUUCAUAGGAACUUUGACUAUUUCCCGACCAAUAUGAUGUCUGCAUAACCAUUAUGCGGUCGCGGUUUUGGCUGCAGAAAAGCAACUGAAGCUUAGCUACUUUUUCUUCACUUUCUCUACGCUCUAAGACAGACACAUCAAAGUGUUCAACAACAACAAAUAAACCUACAAAAACAAAAAUCUAACAGAAGAAUUUCUAAAAAUUGAAAAUUUUAAAAAAUUACUACAAAAUCAAAAACAAUGGGUUGCCUCCCACCAAGCGCCACAUUUAACAUCGUGACACGAUGCAAAUCAACUUUAUCACUUUUUUCGCCACUUGGAGGAUAUGAAUUAGGCACCUAACUUGGACUCAAGUUUGUGACCACGAGCGGCGGGGGUGGUAAGUGAUGAUCAAGCCAAACAUCGAUUUCAUCAUUUUGCAUUUCUUGGCUUUCUUUAGAGAAAUGUCAUUUUGCAUUCUUGAACUUUCAAAUUGUAAGAGGUAUGGAUCUUGUCUUCCUUAUUUUCACUCCCACAUGAAAUCACAUGGCUCAAUUUCCAUAUCACCAUAAAAUUUCAAAGUUGAAAAAUGUUUAGAAUGAGAUAACAACCUCCCAACUUUCAGCCUUUUCCGUAUUUUGACAUUCUCUUUUCCCCCCGAACUAGAGUCAAUUUCGACCAUCUUCUCAAUUACGCCAGUUGACUCUAAUUCUAUUUUUUUCUUGGAAUCACCAAUAAGCAUGGAGUCGGUUGGCGAAUGUUCAAAUCUUGAUUCAAGCUCCCAGCCAUUUUUUAGACUAUUUUCCAAAAUCUCCUCUAAGUCUUUUUGCUCUUUGUUUCCUUCUUCAAGUAGGCACUUCAUCAUGAGUUUGAACUCUCCGCUUUGCCCAUGAUCAUUUUCUUCCGCUUUGAAAGCCCUAUAAAUAUCACAACCAAGAAUAGAAGCAUCAUAGUGGGGGUUCGGGGAGGGGAAGAACAAACAAGCACAAUUGCCCAAAUGACCAUUUUGACCACCACACCUAUCACACAUACUCCACUCAUGGGUUUGAGAUUGUGCGCACAAUCCGCCCGUGGGAGAAUUUAAGAAUUUUUAUCACGAGUGUGGUCCUCCACAAUAAAGACAAGGGUCAUCAAAGUAUGAACAACCACCAUCCGACUAAUUUUUAUUAUGUGAUGCCAUUUUAAAAAACUACAAAAAUAAACAAGAAAAUAAAUGAGGUAAGAAAACUAACUACAUAAAUAUUCACAAGUUUGGAUAAAAGCACGUACACUUACUUCUCAAACAACCUAAAUGCGCCAAAAUGUUCCCCGGCAACAGCGCCAAUUUGGAUGACGUCCAAAUCUACUUCUCAAAGAGUGAGCAUAAAUGAUCUUUGGAAGUUUUUGAAAGGAAAUAAAAGCUUUGGAGCUAGGGUUCUUGCAUACACACUUGAGUAUUGAAGAUUUGAAGUCUUUGGAUCAUAUUUUCUUACCCAUUUUUACUCAUUUUUUUAUUUCCUUGUUUUGUAUAGAAUAUCUAAGUGUGGUGUUUUUAUUCCAUUACUUGAAUCUUAUUUAUAGGAAUAUUCAUUAUUAAAGUUUGGAUUUAAUCUCUAGUUAUGCUUAUGUAUUGAAUAAUUUUUAUUAAUAUUAAGGUUAGUUAUUCUUUCUCUAAUUAUUCAUGUUCUUUAAUGUUUUCAAAGGGAUUAGCUAACCAUAGGACUCGCCCAUUAACUUCGAAUUAAAUUUGGAAAAGGUAAUUUGGGGUUGGGAAUGAUUAAUUAACAAGAACUUGAAGCGUUAAUCCUCAUUUUAUAGAUUCUACCUAGGGAUAGGUUGAACUACUUGUAGUCAUAUUUGGGUGCACUUAAUCCGCUCAAUUGUUAUAGGGAUAAUUCAAGUAGGAAGUCUUGUUAGUCUCCAGAAGAAGCUAAUAUGGAAUUAUUAUCUGAGGCUAAUUAACAAAAACUUUCUCAUAUUUGUAAAAUCAUGAAAUACAUUAGAUCGUUACUUGAGUGUAAUUCUCUGUGUAUCCAUACUUGUAGCCAUUGACUAGGCCAGUCAUUUCGAGUAUUUUAGCCUUGUUUCCCCUAUUUUAUGCCCUAUUUAUGUGUAAUUAUAGUUAUGUGACUUGGUGGGGUGGUUGGUUUGGUUUCGGAGAAGUUUUGGAAUGAAUUGGGACACUUAGUCUCAAGGUUGGAAACUUAAGUUGUAAGAGUUUUUCGGAGUUUGACUUUUAUGUAGAAGACUCUGAAAUAGAGUUUUGAUGGUUUCAAUAACUUCGUAUGGUUAUUUUGGACAUAGCCGUAUGUCCGGAUGUGGAUUUGGAGGUCCGUAGAUUGAUUUGGUGUGUUUUGUCAAAAAGUGGAAGUUAAAGGUUUGGAAGGCUGAGAGGUUUGACCGAGAGUUGACUUUGUUGAUAUCGAGUUCAAAUUUUGGUUCUAGGAGUUGGAAUAGGUCCGGUGUAUCAUUUGGGAAUUGUGUGCCAAAUUUGAGGUCAUUCGGAGUUGAUUUGAUAUGGUUUGACAUGCGUUUUGGAAGUUGAAAGUUCUUUAGUUUCAUUAGGCUUGAAAUGGUGUGUGGUUCAUGGUUUUGAUGUUGUUUUAUGUGAUUUGAAGCUUCGAGUAGGUUCAUAUUGUGUUUUAGGACUUGUUGGUAUGUUUGGAUGGGGUCCCGAGGGCCUUGGGUAUGUUUCGGGUUGAGAUUCGAUCAAUUGUGGAGGGUGUUUUGCAUAUGCGGAGGGUUUGCCCGUAGAUGUGGAGCCACAGGAGAGGCCAUUUGCACGCAGGUGCUAGGUAAGGUGGAGUCUGGCUGGGAGCGUAGGUGUGAGGGUAUUUUUGCAUCUGCGAGCCCGCAGAUGCGGACAAGUGAGCGCAUAAGUGAAACUAGACGGAAGCUUGGGAGUCCUCAGAUGUUGACAUUGGAUCGCCGAAGCGGUCCCGUGGGUGCGAAAAGGGAUCACAGCUGCGCAUGGUCGGGACUUAAAUGGAUAUCACAGAUGCGAGAAUUGCAGCGUCGCAGGUGCGACUUAGUGGACCGCAAAUGCGGUUUUACUGGUAGACUUCAUAUAUUCGAGGGUUUGAGUGUUUUUCUUAUUUUUGGAUUUGUGGAGGUCGUUCCAAGACGAUUUUUGGAGUGAUUUUCAUCCUAAUUGAUGAGGUAAGUAAAGUUUGUGAUCACUUUUGUUGAUAUAUAUUGCUUACCCAUUAAUUUUUAUAUCUAGUUUAUGUGAAUUUAAUGUGAAAUUUGGGGGUUUUAGACUAUGUUGUUGGAGAGUGAGAUUUGACGGUUUGGGGGUCGAUUUUUGCUUGGAAUUCAUUGAAGUUGGUAUGGUUGGACUUAUAUUUGAAUGGGUGUUCAGAAUUAGUGAAUUUAUUCGGGUUCUGGGGUGUCGGCCCGGGGUUGACUUUUUUGGGUUGACUUUGUGAUUUUGAUGAAAGAUCUUAGCUUUAUCAGUUGGAAUUGGUUCCUACGACUUUUAUUGAUUAUAUUAAGUUAUUUUGGCUAGAUUCGAGCCGUACGGAGGUUGAUUCACAUGGGAAGGGCUUGUUAGAGGAGUGAUUUGGCUUGCUUGAGGUAAUCUUACCUAAACUUAGUUGAGGCACUAGUUGCUUGAAUUAUUUAUGAUAUUUACGUGAUAUGGGUGCGCAUAUGUGUGGGGUUUGAGCCCAUGUGCGAGCACCGAGGUAUUUAUCUAUGCUCUAGGUAGUGCUUAUGCUAUGACAUGCCUUGAAUUGAUUGAUAAGCUUUAUGCUGCAAUGUUUCUCAUAAUUGUAACCCUAUUGUGAACUAUUUGAUCCAUGUUUGAGGUUACACAAAGGCUAAUACCCUAAAUGAACUUGAUAAUUGCUAUUUACGAAAUGAAACUAUUGAUUUGAGCUAUGAUAGCACAAUUUGCACAUGCAUACACCUUAGCAUGUCAAUUUUACCAGUCCAGGAGCAUGAAAUAUAAUAUUCAUUGAUCAUAUACAUGUAUUCUUGUAUAUUUGCUUCUUUGUGAUAUGAUUUGGACUGAAUGCCUGUGACCACGCCGGGCAGAUUGCGUUGUUAUGCCUAUGACUACGCUAGGCAAAUAUGUGAUAUUGAGCCUGUGACCACGCUAGGCAGAUUAUGAUAUAUAGCCUGUGACCACGGGCGAAGUAUGAUUAUUGCACGUGACCCCACCGUGUAGCGUAUGGAUAUGGAUCCUUCCCCCUAGGGUUACCCUCUCAUGUUUCUCUCUUGAUGGUGUACACGUGGAUUGAGAAAAAUUGAUCAGUGGUUUGGUAGUGUAUUGCAAAUUCCAAGGAAAAUUUGGCUAGUGUUGUUGGUUAUUGCAUUUCAUCUUUACUUGCCAUUUCCAUGAUUAUUUACCUAAUUUACUUGUAUAUCAUCUUUGUAUGCUUAAUUAUCGACUGAGCAAAGAACUUGAUAAACUGUGUACACCAGGGUUGUUCUUUCUGUGCUUUAUGACUUGAUCAUGUUAUCGUUCUAUACUUGUUGCAUUCAUGAACUGUACAGGUUAUAACGAGUAUCAUUUAUAAUUCCUGUUGCUUUUACCACGCCGAGGUUAGUUAUGAUACUUGAUGAGUACAUGGGAUCAGUUGUACUCAUGCUACACUCUCUACUUAAUUGUGUAGAUCUAGGUGUCGGAUCCAGUCAUCGAUAGCGGACUUUGCUAGCUGAGUUGAUCACCAAGAGAUGAGGUAGAGCUGCAUUCUCGACCACAGUCUUGGCGUCUCUUUCUAUAUUGUACUAUUGUCUUUAUUUCAGACAAUAUUGCUAUUUAUCUUUCAGACUUGUAUUCUCCAUUGUUAGAGCUCAUGCCUUUGUAUUUACCAGUUAUGGGGGAUUUAUCAUGCAUUGGCAUUACUAUGCUAUAUUAAGGUUUCAUGCUUAUGUUAUUUCUAUCAUUUCUGCUUUUAUGGUUCAUUAUUGUCAUGUUCGGCCUGCCUAGCAAGUGUGUUAGGUGUCAUCAUGACUGGUUAUGGUUUUGGGCCGUGACAAGUUGGUAUCAUAUCCUUAGUUUAAGGAUAUGUUACGUUGGUUCUCGGCAAGUAAGUCUCGGGUGCCCGUCGCGGACCUCCGAUUUGGGUCGUGACAAACAUGGUAUCAGAGCAGGUCUGUCCUAGGGAUGCCUAUAAGCCAUGUCUAGUAGAGUCUUAUUUAUAGGUGUGUUGCAUGCCACACUUAUAAACAAGAGGUUGCGGGACAUUUAGGAUGGUUAUCUUCUUUUCAUGUUAUAGAUCGUGCGAAAGAGCUGAGUUGUAGGGAAUCGAGUGUAGCGUAUGCGUUGAUGUAGGUUGUACAAAGAUGUCAUUGCCCAGAAGUGUUGCAGCUAGUCAGGAUGUUAUGGAAGGAAUGGGAGGGGGUAUUAGACGUACGUCCUCUAUUGGGAUAGAUCCAUUUGGGGACCAGGGUGAGUCACUCCCUCAGAUAGCCCCGGUUCCACUAGUACUAGAGGAGCCGAUGGAGGCUCCAGCAUCACCAGCUCUACCAGUUCCACCACCGGCUGAUCGGGAUGUAAGAAAAGCAAUACAAGUAUUGAUGCACUUGGUAGCCUCUCAGUAUUGGCAUCACCCAAGGGCCCCUAAUAGUGAUAGGGCCCUUGACGGGUCAGGAAAUUCACAACCUAAAGAGUUCAGAGAGCGAGAGCUGUCUAUAUUUCCAAGAGAUGAUUCCGAUGAGGUUAGGGGAUGGACCAAGAAGGCCAGGACAAUUGAUAAUUUCAGAUGACUGCUGGGUGCUGGUAGGUUACAGCAGACUAGAUUUGCACAGUGGCUUGUACAUGAUCAGAGUUCUCAGGUAAGACCAAGGCUAGGUUUGCUGACGUCAGUAUGUUAGGAUCGUGCUAGUACAGGUAGAGUGGAACCGCCCCGGCCAUUGUGUCGUUAGUGUUAUCGGGCUCAUGCCUAGCCACGUCGUGUAGGUACGGGGGGUUGUUGUUAGUGUGGUAGGAAGAUCCACAAGAUAUAUAUGUAUCCAACACUUAAGUAUAAAGACCAAGAUAGGAGUGAAGAUGGAGCGUCGGGCUCCAAAUGUUACCUUUAGAGUACAGAUACAUGGCCCAAUCUUCUUUUAGUUCAUGCUGACUAGUAGAAUGUUACCCGGUAGUGCGGGAAAGCUCAGAUAGAUAAUUUAUGACCCUUAUGGAUAAAUCAUUAUAUAUGAAAAUGUAGUAAAGAUAGACGAUAAGCACAACAUGCGAAAGAUAUCAUCGGGGAGGUACUACAGCUUCUGCUUUUAACAGAUAAGUAAAGCAAAAUUAGACAAAUAAAGAAUGAGGCCAGUUAGAAUCAAGGAUGUUUUGUAGAAAUUACUUUGAAGGAGACGAGAAGUGGAAUGUUGUAAAAGGUUUGUACAAAACCAAAUUGAGCAAUAUGAGUGAAUAGAGAAGACUAUUAAGGGACGUAAGUUAAAGUAUGGAAGUACAAUAAGAUUCGUAGGCAAGUGAGCUCUAAGGUUAUAAAGCAAUAUGGUUCAUUAAAAGUGGAUUAGUAAUUUUAAUGGGAAUUAUUAGAAGUUCUAUUUAACAAUACAAAUGCGAGGUGCUGAUAUCGAAGGAUGACUUAGGAUGAACUAGAACUAAGGUACCGAUUAGAGAUUCAAAGGACUCUCACACUAGCUAGCAUUGCAGUGAUCUAAAGAGUGAAUAAGUAGAAGGAGGAUUAGUGAGAAAAGAACCCUGCAAGAAAUUAUAAUGAUAUUCUUGACAAGCCACAUGAACUGAACUAAUCGAAAGAAGCCAUGCCAGCAAGAACAUAUGACUUGCUACGUAUAUCGACCCCUAUAAAUUGUCUUAGAGGAAGAAAGGAUACCCAUAGGUCAAUCGUAAGCUACUAGGAAUACAGACCUAUGGAAGGAAGAAAGACGACUAGAACUUCUAGCGUGAAACAUUGAACUAUUUCCCUAAGAGGGGAGAUGAGGUGGUAAAGCUCUAAGUCGAGAGAAAGUUUAGUUAACAACGAAAAGAUGGGAGGAUUGUGCAGAAAGGAGUAUAAGCAACUUUAAAGUAAUGCACUAGUACAAACAAUAUGGAAGAAGAAAACAAUGGUUUAUAAAUAGACAACAAGCAUAGUCAAACACUUUAUACAUGGGAAUGUUAACCUGAAGAAUGUGUUAAAGUUGGAAGAUAUGACUCCAAAGGAAAUUGCUGAGAUUGAAAGGAGAAGGAAGAACAAUCAUAAGGAGUUAGAAAGGGACCCGAGUACGAUGACUCUCGAAAUUAAAGAUAGACUAUAGUAAUAUCUAAAUAUUGCAACCGUGAGGGAUAGUCGAGAUGACAGCAAGAGCAAUGGAGUUAGUACAAUAUUUCAAGGAAACCCCUAAAGAAGAGAAACCAUCAAAGUGAAAACAAUAAAGUUGACAUCGAGGAUAAGACAUAGGAUAGACAAUAAGGAAAAGACGAAGUAGAAAGAAGCAGUAUGAAGGUAGGUUUUUUCACAACGUCGGUUUCUUCUAUAUAUCGAAGCAUAACUAACGAAUAAAUACAUCAAAUAUAUAUGGUAACAAGAAGAUGGAAAUCAAUAGAUGAGGUCCAAAACUAUAUGUACAAGGGAUUCAGAAUGUGUAGUUAGAUCAUAGUUUCAAAUAAAGAAUAUCAUAAUAUUAGCAUAAUAAGAAGUCGUUGACUACUAGGAGCAGUGAGAAAAAUAAGGAGGAAUGAAGGACCAUAAUGGUAUACAUGUUUCAUAUAAGACGACUUAGAACUAGAAUAAAAAUAGCGGAAUCAAUAUUGUAACGAAUGUGUUUAGUCGUAAGUCACGGGUGGUUUAAUAAAUGCGCAAGACCAAAAGGAAGAAGGGUUGACUGGAGGUCUUCACCAAUUAACAGGUUAGUAAUACGCUUGGCAGACUCAGAUAAUGAAAGUAUAAUGGCCGGGAAUAUGGUAGAGUCAUCUCUUGUAGAUAAGGAAUAUUUUUGUUUUAGGGAAAGUUAAAAGAGGUAUAGAGAAAAAUACAUUUUUUUGAGUCUAUUGAAGGAGGGAUCUUGAAAUAUCAUGGCCGAUUGCGUAUUGGGACAAAAGAUUACAUUGGUAGGACGACAUGAAAAAAACCAUUGUAGGGUCCGUGGCUUAGUAUUCCAUUUUCUAAUCGGACAAAUUACAACAUCAGGAACCCAAUGGAGUGACACGGAAUAAAGUAACCCAAUAUGGAAAGGAGAAGUGAUUGGCAUAAGAUUCAUUACAAAUAUAGCAAGUUCGAUUCCACACGGACGACCGUAGUUAGUUUGACAAAAAGUAUUUUACUUUUACUGGACAAAUUACUAAAGGUUAAGUAAAAUGGAAGGGUGCAAAAGGUAGAUCGGGUACAUAAUGUUUCCGUCUCGAUAACGGUUAAUAGAGGUGCUCGGUUAUAGAUAACUUGUAACGAUCCGAUCGGUUGUUUUGAGAUCUAGCAUGUCGUUCGGUGAUUCGAGACCUUAAGUAGCUUCACUUCAUGUAUUAUGACUUGCGCAUGUAGUCGGGUUAGAUUUUUGGGAAGAUCAGAGUUGGUUUGGAAGAAUAAUUUUCAAUUAGGAAGCUUUAAGUUGGAAGAGUUGACAUGGUUUGAAUUUUGGGUAAACGACCUCGGAUUAGAGUUUUUAUAGUUCCGUUAGGUCCAGAUGAUGAUUUUGGACUUAGGCGUAUGUCCGAAUUUGGAUUUAGAAGUCAGUAGUUUGAUUUGAUGCUUUUUGGAAAACGUUGGAAGAUUGAAGGUUGAUAGGUUUGACCGAGAGUUGACUUUGUUAAUAUCGGAUCCAGAUUAUGGUUCUGAGAGUUAGUAUAGGUCCGUUGUAUCAUUUGGGACUUUCAUGCAAAAUUCGAGGUCAUUCCAGGUUGAUUUGGUAUGGUUCGACAUGAGUUUUAGAAUGUUAAAAGUUCAUUAGUUCAUUAGGCUUGAAUUGAUAUGAAAUUUAUGGUUUUGAUAUUGUUUUGUGUGAUUUGAGGUAUCGAGUAGGUUCGUGUUAUAUUUUGGGACUGGUUUGUGUGAUUGGGCCGGGUCUCGGGGGCCUCGAGUGAGAGAGUUAUGUCUAUUUUCGUAUCGGGAAAGAUUGUUAGUUUCUCGUGCGAACUUUUGUUCUUCGCAAACGCGAGAGAGGUUCCGCGAACACGAAAAAGGAUUUAUGGGUUGAUCGGUCAACGCAAAAAAUUUCUCUUCGCAAACGCGAAGGUCUCCCGCGAAGGCGAUGAAUAAAAAUCAUCUGGGUAGUAUUUUAAAUCGAGAAUUUUAGUAUUUUGAGCAUAUCUUGAGUUCUAGAGCUCUGUGUGAGGUGAUCUCCGUUUGAGGUGAUUUUUUCGGCGUUGUUCUCGUCUCAACAAGGGGGUAAAUAUAUGAGCUUUAUUUUGAUGUUUUUCCAUGAUUAGUUUCGUUGAUUAUUAUUUUUAUCCGUCUUUGUAUUGUAGAAAUUGAGAUUUCGAGCCCCAAAGUUGAGAAAUAGUAAAUCCUUGAUUUGAGGGUCAAUUUGUGGAUGAAAUUGGAUGAUUUUCUAGAUAUAUACUAUAUAAGUUAUUUUUGAUAAUAUUUGAAAUCCGGGCAUGUUGGCCCGACGUUUAUCUUGUUGACUUUUCGAGCGAAGUUUGGAAUUGUUACAAAUUGUUAAAUUACAAGUAUUGGAGUAUAUUUUGAUUGGUUUGCACGUUGUUUUAUUAGUUUUGGAUCGUUUGGCAUCGGUUUGAGGAGUUGGAGAGGGGUUGGAGCCGGUUAUCGGAUUUCGGAGCAAGGUAAGUCUCCUGUCUAACCGUUUUAGGGGAAAAUUUACACCGUAUGUGUUAUAUUUAUUAUGUGAUACAUGUUGUGGGAGCUACGGACGUAUGAGGUGACGAGUGUCCUUGCAUAUGCCAGAAUUCUUGAUUAUGUCUGGGUAGACUUAGACUCACGCCAUGCUUUAAUUGUACUAUUUGAGUUAUUCCCUCCUGUUUAAAUGCAUUAAUUUAAAUUUAGCCUGAAAUUAGACUCGCGUAGAGUAUCAGACUUGCUAUUUUAGAUACUUGAUGAGCUACUUGAUUAGCCAUGGAAAUUGUACUUUCCUUUACGAAUUUCUUCUGCUUUGUGCGUAUUCGUCCGAUAGUUUUUCUUGAAUUUUAUAACUCACAUGUAUAUUCGUGAGUAGUGUCAGUGACCCGUCAAAGUUUCAUAUUCUAAAGGGAUCGGGCUGAACGCCUCAGCAAUACUCUUAUGGGAUCGGGCCGUUCGCCUCGAUGGUAUCAUGUAACAUACUCUUAUGGGAUCGAGUCGUUUGCCUCGGCACUAUCAUGUAACACACUCUUAUGGGAUCGGUCCGUUCGCCUCGGCGCUAUCAUGUGACACACUCUUAUGGGAUCGGGUCGUUCGCCUCAGGGGUAUCAUGUAACACACUCUUAUGGGAUCGGGCAGUUCGCCUCAGCAGAGUAACAUAUUCUUAUGGGAUUGGGCCAUUCACCUCGUCAGGAUUAUGCAUCACACUCUUAUGGGAUUGGGCUGUUAGCCUCGGUAGUUCUAUGAAACACUCUUAUGGGAUCAGGCCACUUGCCUCAGCAGAAUCGUGUGAAAUAUUUGAUAAGGAGUCCGCGUACUCAUGAGUUUACUGACUUGAGAUGUGGCCGUUGAUUUGGUAUUGACCAUCAACCGCGAUCGCGAAGAGGAAAUAGAGGAGCUGGGUAGGGAGUCCUUUGGCCCUCGUGAAUCCAACUUGGGGAUCGCGAACGCAGAAGAGUGGACAGCGAUGCAUCACGAACGUGACCGUCUGGACGCUAACGCAAAGAAGGUUUUUGGGCAGUUGCAAUUCUGGCCUUCGCGAUUGCGAGGCAUUUUCCGCGAUCGCGGAGAAGGGAUCACUAGGUAGACUUGAAUUUAUUACGGGACUUAGUCUCUAAUUUUUCAUUUUCCACUUGGUCUUGGACGAUUUUGAGAGCAUUUUGUGGGGAAUUUUCAUCAACACCAAGAGUUUUCGAGUCCUCGGCAUCGUUUGAGGAGCUCUAGUGACUUUGAAGAGCCGGAUUGAGUACUUGGAAUCAAGGUAAGUCUCUUGCCUAACCUUGUAAGAGGGAAAUUUUCCCCUUAGAUGUAAUAAUUGUUGUGUGCUACUUGUUGUGGGGAGCUAUGUACGCACGAGGUGACAAGAGUCCGUGCGUAGCUAUAUUCAUGAUAUGUCCGGAUAGACUUAGAUUCACAUCAUUCCAUAACUGUGCUAUUUGUAUUCAUCCCAUGUAUUGAUUUCCUUGAUUAUGACUGAGAUUGAGGUUAGAGUAAAGAUACAGAAUUAGCCUCUUACAUUGGAAAAUUUUGGAAAUAUUUGAUGAACUAUGGAUCUGUGCCUUCUCGACUCGCAUGUACUUCCGCGAGCGAGGAAAUAUUCUCUAUUCUUAUGGGAUCGGUCCAUGUGUAUUAAAUUACUCUUAUGGGAUCGGGUCGUUCGCAUCGGCAGUAUGGUUGUACUAUUCUUAUGGGAUUGGGUCGUUCGCCUCGACAAUACUGAGUACCACUAUUCCUAUGGGAUCAGGCUGUUUGCCUAGGUAGCUUCCUUCUUAAUACUUGUGAUUGGAUUUAGCUUGGUAACAAUUGAGUUAGCGCCUUGCAGGCCGUUAAUGUCAUGUUUAGUGAUUCGAUAUAGAUUCAUGUGGGGAAUUAUUGUAAUUGUUUUUAUCUGUUUCGUUGCUACUUGUUAUACAUUCUCCAUGUCUACUUUUUGUAUUUCUAUUACUGUUUGACCACUAGUAAGUGUCAAGUCGACCCCUCAUCACUACUUCUUCGAGGUUAGACUGGAUACUUACUAGAUACACAUUGUUUUAUGUACUCACGCUACACGUCUGCACUGAAUGUGCAAGUACUGAGACAGGUACUACCAGUGGUCACGCGGGCGCAUUGCCGCACUUCUACGUAGACUUAGUGGUGAGUUUCUUUGAUCUGUAGCACCGGAUCUCCCUCUACCUUGUUUAUUGUUUAUGUCUAUUACCCUUCAGACAAUUGUUGUAUUAGUUUCAUAUAUUCUCUAGAUUGCUCAUGCACUUUUAGUACCGGGUUUUGGGGGCUUCUAGCUUUUAUGUACCGUUGUACUUAUCAUUACUAUCACUAUGGUUUAUGUAUUUCUCACCCUGAAAUUUUUAACAAAAGAGUACAUACGGUUGCAUGAGAUCUUACUUAUUUCAUUCUUCUAAAAUGGAAACCUGCAUAAAAAGUUAAAAGGGGAUAACUAAAUUGGAGGUUCAUUUGUGGGCUUGUCUAACGGCGGCGUUAGGCGCCAUCGCGACCUAUUACGGGUUUUGGGUCGUGACAUGAUGAUUUAGUUGUCAAGAUGGAUUUUACCUACAUAUAGUUGAUAUGACAUAUUUUGUUGAUGGUAGCAUAUUGGAUUGACGUGAUAGGUGUUCAUCGUGCGUUUAUAUAUUUGAUUCUUGAAAAGUUCUCUUGAACGAGUUAUUUGGCAAUUCAUACGCAAUCGAAUCAUAUUGGGCACAUGUUUACAGUUAUGUGUGAGUAUUGAGAAAAUAUAUUAUACGGUGCAUACCUCUUUGUGAGUGCGUUGGUACAGGUUUGUAUUUGUUGAACAUGUCUAAGUGGUAGAGUUGUUUACUACCUUGUCUCAGUUGUGCACCUUUACUGAUGAUACUCUUUAUUUCGUAAUUAUUUUUCUGGAAUAUUAUUUAUAUGUAGUAUACAUGUUAUUGAGCUGCACAAGCUCUGCAAAGUGAAUAUCUUUUGACUUAAAAACCUCGUCACUACUUCUCUGAGGUUAGUCACGAUGCUUACUGAGUACAUAGGGUCGGUUGUACACAUAAUACACUUCUGCACCUUGCGUGCAGAUUCUUGGAGUUGGGCUGCUGUAGAUGACGAAGGAAGUCAUUGAAGUUGUAGUUGCGUCCCUGAUUCAAGUUACCAUUUGUCCAUGGUGGAUUAUGACCUCAUUUCCUUUUAUGUAACCUUCAAACAUAUGUAGUGUUUAUUUUUUUACCAGCUUUAUAACUCUUAAUCAUAAUGGCUCAUGACUUGUACUACCAAUCCUUUGGGUAGUUGUACUAAAUUAUUUCGCAAUUUUAUUUAUAAUAUUGACAAUUUCUUAUUGUAAGAUGACUUGUACGAAGGAAGGCAUUGAUGAUUUCUUAUUAGGUUCCAUCACGACUUGAUGAGAAUUUUAGGCCGUGACACAAAACUUCCAACUUUAAAAACUUAAAGUCUCUUAUUUUAUUUGUUGAUCAGGUCAUCAUGUGCAAGUAUAGAGUGAAAAAUGACGAAGAAAAAACUAAUACUCAUAAGUCUAACUUAGGUGAAGGGAGUGAUAUUAUUGCUAUUAUUAUUUCUCAUGUGAACAUUACAGCACAUGCGAAAGAAUGAGUAGUAGACUCUAGGGCCGCUCAACACAUUUGUGAAAAUCGAAAAGUAUUUUCUUCUUAAACUCCUAUAGGGGAUUGUAAAAAUUUGGUCUACCUUGGAUACUCAAGUACUAGCAAAGUCUUGGGUAAGGGUAAAGUACUUCAGAAAAAACUUUAGCCUUAGUAAAUAUGCUACAUGUUCUUGCUAUUCGGGCAAACUUGAUUUCUGUAUCCUUGUUAGGAAGAGCUAGGAUAAAAUUGUUAUUUGAAUCUGAUAAGAUUAUAAUGACAAAAAUAAUAUGUUUAUGGGAAAAGGGCUAUUGUAACCAAGAACGUUUUGUACAUAAUAUUUCUGAUGUUAUCAAUGAAAAUGCAUCUGCUUCUGCUUAUGGUUGAAUCUAUUUCUUCUUGGCAUGAUAGAUUAGGAUAUGUUAAUAUCACAUAUAUAAGAAAAAUAUAGUGUCUAGGUCUAAUAUCUGGUUUAGACUUAAAUUAUAAGUGUAAAAUAUGUGCUGAAGCUAUGAGUACAAAAAUGACCUGUUUUUCUGCAUAUAGAGAAAUUGAAUUACUAUCCUUAAUUCUCACUGAUUUACGAAAUUUAAAACAGACUAUGACUAGAGGUGGUAAAAGAUAUUAUGUGAUAUUAAUUGAUGAUUUUGUAUAAAUUUACUAAUUUGUAUUUGCUUAAAAAUAAAAAUAAUUAUUUCAGUGCUUUUAUUCCCUAUAAAACUAAGGUUGAAAAUCAACUUAGUAGAAAAAUCAAGAGAAUUAAAUUUGAUAGAGGUGGAGAAUAUGUAUCUAUUUUUCUGGAAAAGAAGAAAUAGUUCAUGAAGUAAUUGUACUUUAUCCACCUUAGUCAAAUGGAGUAGCUGAAAGGAAUAAUAAAACAUUGAAAGAGAUGAUGAACUCCAUGUUAGUUAGUACUAAUACAACUGAUAAUUUGUGGGGUGAAGCUAUAUUAUCUUCAUGUCACUUACAAAAUAGAAUACCACAUAGAAGAAUUGGCAAAACUCCUUAUGAAUUGUGAAAAGGUUAUAAAUAACUUGAAAUAUUUAAAAGUGUGAGAGUACCCUGCUAAAGUUCUUUUGCUUGAACCGGAAAAGAGAAAAUUAUGUUUCUAAAACUAUUGAUUGCACGCUUAUUAGAUAUAUUGAGCAUAGUGAUGCAUAUAGAUUUCCUUUUAAAAAAUAAUGUGCUUGAUCGCAAUACAAUAAUUGAGACAAAGAAUGCUGAAUUGGUUGAACAUAUUUUCACUACUUGAAAAACUUUCCCAUGCAUUUAUUGAAAUAAAUAAUAAGAUUACCUCUAAUGGGGAACUAAGAAGAAGCAAAAGGUCAAGAAAAGAAUAGUUUUCUUAGAGAAUUCUUUUUUAAUUUUUUGUUGAUAAAGAACAAUCAAAUUAUUUUAGAGUUAUAUCUUCUUCAGAAGCUAAAUAAUGAAAUGACGCAAUAAAAGUUAAUAUUGAUUCUAACAUGAAAAAUAAUACAUGAAUUUUUAUUGAUUUACCUCAUUGUACAAAUCCUGUUGGUUGUAAAUGAAUUUUCAAAGAAAAUUUAAUCCUAAUGGAUCUUUAGAUAAAUAUAAAGCUCAACUAGUAGCAAAAGAUUUUUUCUAAAAUAAAAUAAUAAUUAAUUUGAUACUUUUGUACCUGUGACUAGAAUUGUUUCUAUUCGAAUUUUAAUUAGUUUAGCAUCAACUCAUAAGCUUUUUAUUCAUCAAAUGGAUGUCAAAACUGCUUUUCUAAAUGGUGAUUUAGAAUAAGAAAUUUGUAUGGUUCAAUACGAAGGUUGUGUCAUUCGUGGACAAGAAAAAAAAUAUUUAAAUAUUAAUUAAAUCUCUUUAUGGCCUUAAUAAAGCUCCUAAGUAGUGGCAUGAGAAAUUUAAUUAAGUUUUACUGAGAGAUAGUUUUUCUUUAGUUGAGAUGGAUAAAUACAUUUAUACUAAAGUGGUAGACAACAAUUAUGUGAUAAUAUAUUUAUAUGUUUAUGACACGUUUAUUUUUUGUAAAAGUUUAGGUAUUAUGUAGAGUACCAAAUUAUUUUAUCUACUAAUUUUAAAUGUAAUAUCUAGGUGAAAUAAAUACGAUAAUGGAAGUUAAAGUUAUAAGGAGUGAAGAUGACAUAUAUUCUCACUAGAACAUUACGUUGAGACACUUUAUAAGAAGUUGGAACAUUUAAUGUCAUACCUAUGAGCAUUCCUUUUGAUGCUAACUCUCAAUUGAAAAAGAAUAAUGAUGACCCAUUUGUUCAAUCUAAAUAUGCUCAGAUUAUUGGAAGUGUAACGAUCCGAUCGAUCAUUUUGAGAUAUAGUAUUUUAUUUGGUAGUUUGAGACCUUGAGUAGUUUCAUAUAAUGUAGUAUGACUUGCGUAUAUAGUUAGUAUUGAUGUUGGUAGGGUUCGGGGUUGAUUUGGUAGAAUGAUUCUCAAUUGGGAAACUUUAAGUUGUAAGAGUUGAUCAAGGUUUGACUUUUGAAUGAACGACCUCGAAAUCGAGAUUUGAUGGUUUCAAUAGGUUUGUGUUGUGAUUUUGGACUUGGGCGUAUGUUCGGAUUUGAAUUCGGAUGUUCCUAUAAGGUAUUGGCUUAAUUUGUUCAAAGUUGGAAAUUUAAAAAAUUUAAAAGUUCAUAAGCUUGACCGGUGGUUGAAUUUUGUAACGAUCCGGUCAUUCGUUCCGAGAGUUAUAGCACUGUUUCCCUAUUCCUGCUUCGUUAUGUGUUAUUCAGCAGUGUUGAGUUGUAUCGAGUUGGUAGGUUUGGGUCCGGAGUAGUUUUAGAGUGAAAUGAACACUUAGUCGUUUAGUUAGAAAGCUAAGUUAGAAAAGUCAACCGGAAGUUGACUUAUGAGCAAACGAAUUCGGAUUUGGAUUUUUAUGAUUCGAUUAGUUUCGUUGGGUGAUUUUAGACUUAGGAGUGUGUCCGUAAUGUAAUUUGGAGGUCCGUGGUAGAAUUAGAAUUGAAUUGGCAAAAGUUGGAAGUUUAGAAGUUUUUAGGCUUGAAUCCGAGGUUGAUUUGGUGUUUUGGUAUUAUUUUGGGUGUUCUGAAGGUUCGACUAAGUUCGGGUAGUGAUAUAUGACUUGUUGGAAUUAUCGGUUGAGGUCACGAGGGCCUCGGGUGAGUUUCGGAUAGGUUUGGGUUGUGUUGCGCUCAUUUUUCUUAUGUUUCGAUGCCGUUUCUUCAAGCAUAAAUGAUAUCAUAUUGAAAAAAAUAUGGCAACCUAAUUCUUAGUAAAAUGACCAUACGAAAUUGCCACUAACGGUGUAUUUAAAAAUUUGCACUAUUUGCAAAUAUUAAAACCUACAUAUCUCCUUCAUUAUAAGGUCAAAUUGAGUGAUUCAAAAGCCUAACUUGACUAAUAUUUCACAAGAAAUCCAUUGGAGGCAUAAACAUCGAGUUUUGGGAUCGUUUGGAAUGAGAAACGAGGCAAAAUAACUGGCAGAAAAAUAUAUAAAAUGAGGGUUUAUUCAUACGGUCAUAUUUUGAGUUGGGGAGCUCAGAUUUGGGCAAUUUUGGGGGCGAUUUUCACCAUAAGGAUAGGGGUAAAUGUUCUUUACUCAGUUUUGGUUAUAUUUCAUGAAUCCAUCUUCGUUUUUGGGAUUUGAUUCAUGAGUUCAAAGGGAAAUUGAGGGAGUUAGGGUUUGAGUUUUGGAGAGUUUAAGUGAGGAUUUGAGGGACCAAAAGGAGUCCAAUUUUGAUAAACUUUAUAUGGUUAGACUCGGGAGAGGACGAAGUUUAUUAUUGUUCCAUUUUUGACUGAUUUCGAGAUGUGGGCCCAGGGACAGAUUUUGGCCGANNNNNNNNNNNNNNNNNNNNNNNNNNNNNNNNNNNNNNNNNNNNNNNNNNNAGAUUCAGAGCUUUUGGAGACCGAGUCUAGAGACGAGAGUAUCCCGGAGUAAGAUUUUAUGCUGUUAAGGUAAGUAACAGUUUUAACUCUGGCUUUGAGGGUAUAAACCUGAAGAAUUUGAUAUCGUGUGACUGUUUGGAGGUGAUACCCAUGCUAGGUGACGGGCGUGUGGGUGUAUACCUCGAUGGAUUGAGACUUGGUCCGUCCCAUGAGGCCUCAUGGACAUCAUCUGUGUUUACGUAGUUACUUGUUGUUGAACUUGUCUGCCUUCAUGUUAGAGAUCAUGCUUAGGCUUUAUUCAUGCUCACAUUAUUUGUACUCAGUCAUAGAAAUUAUUGUACAUGUUUACCUCAGUCUCUAUUAUUUGCUAAUAUGCUGUAAUGCUUGAUGUGGGUUGUGUUCCCUUAUUUGUUGAUGAUGGUGAGGCUAGUGAGGUACAUGAUUGAGUGAGGACGAGGGCCUGGUUGUGAGGAUAUUAAUACCAUAGCGUGUGAGUUGUCCGCGUAGCACGUGAGUUGACCGUGCAGGUCUAGGUAUUAAUACCAUAGCGUGUGAGUUGUCCGCGUAACACGUGAGUUGACCGUGCGGAUCCAGGUAUUGAUAUGAUGGCACGUGAGUUGUCCGUGCUUAGCACUUUGGGCUUUGGGAGCCCCUCCGGAGUCUGUACACACCCCAGUGAGCGCAGAGUGUUGAGCGUUGAGUGCUGAGUGAUGGAGUGACAUUGCUCUGAGGUUGCAUUUAUUUUGUUGUUGCUGCAUUUACCUAUUAAUUUUCCUUGUGGUCUUACUGAUUUAUGAAAUUACCUGUCUACUCCUGUUUGCACUUAAUUGUGGAAAUAAUAACUGGAUUAUUCUACUUAGCUCGUCAUUACUGCUCAGUCCCUUAGUUAUUUCUAUUACUACUGAGUCAGUUAUACUCAUACUACACCCUGCACUUUAUGUGUAGAUCCAGGUGAGUUAGAAGGCGGCGAUUGUUGAGUUCAGUCCGGCUAUCUUUGGAGACUGCAAGGUAGUUGUUAGCGUCCGCAGGAACUUGUUACUCCUCUUGUCAUUUCUUCUUUUGGAUAGUAAGACAGCUUAUAUAUCUUAGUUUAUAGUUUUAGAUGCUCAUGACUUAGUGACACCCCGAUGUUUGGUGCUCGUUUCCGUAUUUUCUAUAUUAUAUUUAGAGUUGAUUUAGUUUAUGAGAAAUUCAAAUGUUGGUAUUAUUUUAUUAAAUUCUUAUAAUCAAUUUAGUAGUAAUAUUUUGGGAAAUAGGCUUGCCUUGUAACACGAUAGGUGCCAUCACGACCAUGGUUAGAUUUUGGGUCAUGACAACUUUGAUAUUAUCGUACUCGGAUUGUGGUUUUUGAGAUCUUGUACAGGUUCAUUUAGGUGAUUAGAACUUGUGUGUAAUGUUUGGUUAUGAUUCGGAAUUCCUAAGUAUGAUUCGGAAGAGUUCGGCAAAGUUAGAAUAUUUGAAAGUUAAGAGAAUAAUUUUGAUCUUCGAUUCGUGAUUUUAAUAUUAUUUGCGAUGUUUUGAGCCUUUGGACAAGUUUGGAUAUUGUAUAUGGAUUUAUUGGUAUGACUGGAUGGGGUUCCGAGGGGGACGGGUGUGAUUCGGGGUGGUUUUAGACCAUUUCGAUUGAGUUUGGAGUUGAUGUGCCGCUGGUGUUCUGCAGAGCGUCGCGAUCGCAAAACUAGGCUCGCGAUCGCAGAGAAGGUGUAAUGACCCGACCUGUCAUUUUAUAUAUUUGAGCCUCGCUUUCCUAUUUUAUGCUCCUCGUAUGUGUAUUUGUUAUUAUGUGACUUGCUGGGAUGGUUGUUUUGGUUUAGGGAAUGUUUGGAUUGAAUUGGAACACUUAGUUCCAAGGUUGAAAGCUUAAGUUAUAAGAGUGGACCAGGGUUUGAAUCCUUCCACGCAUUCGUAUGCGCAUAUGGGCACUCGAUAUUAGUUGUGCAUCGACGGCUUGUGAUUCCCUGGAUGAGGUGUGAGAUGUGAUUUCUGCGUGUUGAUGUCGGGCCAGUAUAGAGGAUAUAAGGCUAGGUUUUGACUCUAGCUUGAGCAUUGAGGUGUUGAUUGUGUGAGCGCAUGCUUGUGGUACUUUGGGGGAUAUUUAAGAGAGUAUUCAGCGGCUUAUGAGCCUUAGGGCGGUGUGGUUUUAUGCUUGGGUCUCGUGUGGUGAGUCUGGGUUGAGGAUUGUGGUGUUAUGGCGGGGUAAAGUAUCGAUUUGAAGGUAAUUCAGAAGGAACUCGGAUAGAUAGGACAUCUUGGUAGUUGGUUGAAUCGACAUGGUAAUGGGUAUGAUUAGUUCUUUGGGUGUGUAUGAGGUAAUGAGUUCUACAGGUGUUUUGUUGCAAUGUCCUUGGGUUUUUAGUGGUCUGCGUAGCUUGGUUGAGUUAGAAGGAUUCAGUCCUGACGGAUUGGUUUUGUGCCAUUGGGGUUCGGAGAGAGUUCUUGAUGGUUUUGAAAACAACUCUUGGCACAUUCGAGGACAAACGUUUGUAUAAGAGGGGGAGGAUGUAACUACCCGGUUGUUCGUUCCGAGAGUUAUAACAUUGUUUCCCCAUUCCUGCUUCCUUGUGUGUUGUUCAGCGGUGUUGAGUUGUAUCGAGUUGGUAGGUUUGGGUCCGGAGUAGUUUUGGAGUGAAAUGAACACUUAGUCUCUUAGUUAGAAAGCUAAGUUAGAAAAGUCAACUGGAAGUUAACUUAUGAGUAAACGAAUUCGAAUUUGGAUUUUUAUGAUUCGAUUAGCUUCGUUGGGUGAGUUUAGACUUAGGAGUAUGUCCGGAAUAUAAUUUGGAGAUCCGUGAUAGAAUUAGGCUUGAAUUGGCAAAAGUUAGAAGUUUAGAAGUUCUUAGGCUUGAAUAUGAGGUUGAUUUGGUAUUUUGGUGUUUUUUUGGGUGUUUCGAAGGUUCGACUAAAUUUGGGUAGUGAUAUAUGACUUGUUGGAAUUAUCGGUUGAGGUCCCGAGGGCCUUGGGUGAGUUUCGGAUAGGUUUGGGUUGUGUUGCGCUCAUUUUUCUUAUGUUUCGACGCCGUUUCUUCAAAAGCAUAAAUGAUAUCAUAUUGAAACAAUGAGCUCCAAUUUCCUUUUUGAUUGCAGCAUUAGAUCUGUAUCGUAAUUAUGGACCCGUAGCAAAAAGAUUCAUCGAAUUUGGACACCGUAUGAGGAUUUUAUGGUCAUUUUACUAAGAAUUAGGUUGCCAGAUUUGUCAGAUUAAUUACGAAAUUGCCACUGAUGGUGUAUUUAAAAAUCUGCACUAUUUGCAAAUAUUAAAACAUACAUAUCUCCUUCAUUAUAAGGUCAAAUUGAGUGAUUCAAAAGCCUAACUUGACUAAUAUUUCACAAGGAAUCUGUCGGAGGUAUAAAAUGCGAGUUUAGGGAUCGUUUUGCACAAGAAACGAGGCAGAAUAACUGGCAACAAAAUAUAUAAAACGAGGGUUUGUUCAUUCGGUCAUAUUUUGAGUUGGGGAGCUCGGAUUUGGGCGAUUUCGGGGGUUAUUUUCACCAUAUGGAUUGAGGUAAGUGUUCUUUACUCAGUUUUGAUUAUAUUUCAUGAAUCCAUCUUCGUUUUUGGGAUUUGAUUGAUGAUUUCAAAGGGAAAUUGAGGGAGUUAGGGUUUGAGUUUUGGAGAGUUUAAGUGAGGAUUUGAGGGACCAAACGGAGUCCGAUUUUGAUAAAUUAUAUAUGGUUAUACUCGGGAGAGGACGAGGUUUAUUAUUCUGCCAUUUUUGACUGAUUUCGAGACAUGGGCUCGGAGGCCGGGUUUUGGCCGAUUUCGGAAUUUUAGCAUAUUUAUAUAGUUUUUAUUGUGGAAUUCGAUUCUUUAGACUAUGUUGAUAGUAGUAUUAUGAUUUUUGGCUAGAUUCAGAGCUUUUGGAGACCAAUUCCAGAGACGAGGGCAUCUUGGAGUAGGAUUUUACGCUGUUAAGGUAAGUAAUAAUUUUAACUCUGGCUUUGAGGGUAUAAACCCGAAGAAUUUGAUAUCGUGUCACUGUUUGGAGGUGAUACUCACGCUAGGUGACAGGCGUGUGGGUGUAUACCUCGAGGGAUUGAGACUUGGUCCGUCCCAUGAGGUCUCAUGGCCAUCAUCUGUGUUUACGUAGUUACUUGUUGUUGAACUUGUCUGCCUUCAUGUUAGAGAUCAUGCUUAGGCUUUAUUCAUGCUCACAUUAUUUGUACUCAGUCAUAGAAAUUAUUGUACAUGUUUACCUCAGUCUCUAUUAUUUGCUAAUAUAUUGUGAUGCUUGAUGUGGGUUGUGUUCCCUUUAUUUAUUGAUGAUGGUGAGGCUAGUGAGGUACAUGAUAGAGUGUGGCCGAGGGCCUGGUUGUGAGGAAAUUAAUACCAUAUCAUGUGUGUUGUCCACGUAGCACAUAAGUUGACCGUGCGGGUCCAGGUAUUAUAAUACCAUAGCGCGUGAGUUGUCCGCGUAGCACGUGNGUUGACCGNNNNNNNNNNNNNNNNNNNNNNNNNNNNNNNNNNNNNUUGUCCGUGCUUAGCGCUUGGGCUUUGGGAGCCCCUCCGGAGUUUGUACAUACCCCCAGUGAGCGCACAGUGUUGAGUGUUGAGUGCGACUACUGAGUGAUGGAGUGACAUUGUUGCGAGGUUGUAUUUACUUUUGUUGUUGCUGCAUUUACCUAUUAAUUUUCCUUGUAGUUUUACUAAUUUAUGAAAUUACCUGUCUACUCUUGUUUGCACUUAAUUGUGGAAAUAUUAAUUAGAUUAUUCUGCUUAGCUCGUCAUUACUGCUCAGUCCCUUAGUUAUUUCUGUUACUAGUGAGUCGGUUGUACUCAUACUACACCCUGCACUUUAUGAGUAGAUCCAGGUGAGUUAGAAGGCGACGAUUGUUGAUUUCAGUCCGGCUAUCUUUGGAGACUGCAAGGUAGCUGUUAGCGUCCGCAGGACCUUGUUACUCCUCUUGUAAUUUCUUCUUUUGGACAGUUAGACAGCUUAUAUAUCUGAGUUCAUAGUUUUAGAUGCUCAUGACUUAGUGACACCCUGAUGUUUGGGGCUCGUUUUCGUAUUUUCUAUAUUAUAUUUAGAGUUGAUUUAGUUUAUGAGAAAUUCAAAUAUUGGUAUUGUUUUAUUAAAUUCUUAUAAUCAAUUUAGUAGUAAUAUUUUGGGAAAUAGGCUUGCCUUGUAACACGAUAGGCGCCAUCACGACCAUGGUUAGAUUUUGGGUCAUGAGAACUUUGAUAUUAUCAGACUCGGAUUGUGGUUUUUGAGAUCUUGUACAGGUUCAUUUAGGUGAUUAGAACUUGUGUGUAAAGUUUGGUUAUGUUUCGUAAUGCCUAAGUAUGAUUCGAAAGAGUUUGGCAAAGUUAGAAUAUUUGAAAGUUAAGAGAAUAAUUUUGAUCUUCGAUUCGUGAUUUUGAUAUUAUUUGCGGUGUUUUGAGCCUUUGGACAAGUCUGGAUAUUGUAUAUGGAUUUAUUGGUAUGAUUGGACGGGGUUCCGAGGGGGACGGGUGUGAUUUGGGGUGGUUUUAGACCAUUUCGAUUGAGUUUGGAGUUAUUGUGCCGCUGGUGUUCUACAGAGCAUCGCGAUCGCAGAACUAGGCUCGCGAUCACAGAGAAUGUGUAAUGACCCGGCCUGUCAUUUUAUGUAUUUGAGACCCGCUUCCCCACUUUAUGCUCCCCGUAUGUGUAUUUGUUAUUAUGUGACUUGCGGGGAUGGUUGUUUUGGUUUAGGGAAUGUUUGGAUUGAAUUGGAACACUUAGUUCCAAGGUUGGAAGCUUAAGUUAUAAGAGUUGACCAGGGUUUGACUUUUGUGCAAACGAUCCCGAAAUAGUAUUUUGAUGGUUCCAAAUAGGUUCCUAUGGUGAUUUUGGACUUUGGUGUAUGUUCGGAUUUGGAGGUUUCUAGGUUGAUUUGGCUCUAUUUAGUGAAAGAUGGAGAUUUAAAGGUUUAGAAGUUCAUAGGUUUGACCAGAAGUUAACUUUAAAGUUAUCAGGUUCAAAUUGUUGUUCUAAGAGUUGGAAUAGGUUCAUUAUGUCAUUUGGGACUUGUGUGUAAAAUUUGGGGUUAUUCUUAGUUGAUUAGAUGUGGUUCAGCAUGAGUUUUGAAAGUUGAAAGAUGAUUAGCUCAUUAAGCUUGUAUUGAGGUGCGAUUUGUAGUUUUGAUGUUACUUUGUGUGAUUUGAGACCUCGAGUAGGUCUGUGUUAUAUUUUUGGACUUUUUGGUAUGAUUCGACUAGGUCCCAAGUGACUCGGGUGUAUUUCGGAUGAAUUUUGAAUCAUUUUUGUAAAGUUUGGAACUGCUGAAGUUGUUGAUGUUUGGUGUGCUUCACGAUCGCGGAGCAGGUCUCGCGAUCACGAAGGCUAUCUUAUGGUAGUGUUGUUUUUUCUCUUCACAUUCGCUAUCGGAGAUCGCAGAUCUUAGUGGGAAGUGGACUUCGCAUUCGUGACCUGGGCGUCGCGUUCGCAUAGAAGGAAGGCAGGAUGGGGUCGUCACUCGUUUGGCCAUCGCGUUCGUAGGUGGGCCACCACGUUUGCAUAGGCCAGUGGAUGUUAUGCAUCGCGUUUGCGGGUGCCAUGCCACGAUCGUGAAUGGUAAUAUUGGGCUAAUGCAGGGUUGUGCUUUGCGAACACGAGGCUUGGGCCGCAUUCAUGAAGGGUAUCACUAGGCAGACCUUUAUGUU
RNAcentral lists this long non-coding RNA (52714 nucleotides) under Nicotiana tabacum (common tobacco). Its description in RNAcentral is "long non-coding RNA (NTAB_LNC006332)". Lineage: Eukaryota; Viridiplantae; Streptophyta; Magnoliopsida; Solanales; Solanaceae. The record is from RNAcentral.